GAAAAAAUAAGUUUGUAAAUGAAUACAGUAAUUUAUUUCCACAUUCAUGGGUUAAUAGAACACAAAUUUCUUCCAAGAUGCCACAUGAAAGAAUAACUGACAUAAUAAUAUGAAGACGACAUAAUAAUAUGAAGACGAGAACGACAAUAAUAAGGGACCUAUCACCCAACUGUCUGGGUAAGCUACAGGAUUUUUCCUAUCACCGAGUUUGAUCAAGAGGCGCCUGCCUACUUGGAGGGUAGUUCACACCAGGGACUCCUAAUUGACUCAACUUAUUAUGUUAAUAUAAGCUCAGCUACUUGUCUUUUUUUUCUUUCCAACAAACAUCUUCAGAGUACUUGGUGAAUAUAAAGGAUAUAGGUGUGCAAGAUGGGCAGGCUAACCUAAGCCCAAACUGACAUAUAGCACAGGGUUUGGCAGGAUUCAGUUUGGACCAUUGGGAAUGGGCUAAAAAGUGUCAGUGGAAACUAGCAAUUCGGUCAGGAUUGGGCUGAGGGGUUAGGUAAUGGUAGCCCAACUCAACCUCUCUACAAAGUAACAAAAGAGAAAUCCCUUGUCAUAAUGCCCCCUAUAGGUUACCCAGCUGCUGCCCCUAACAUCUAAGUUGUAACUCAUCUUCUUUCUUUUUCACAAUGUUUGACACCAGUUGUCCCUUCAUUGUCUCAUAUCUCUCGAAUCCUUUAUUACCGUCACAAAUCUAUAUCCGUCAAACCACUCUCUCUCAUGGUGCAGGAAGCAUUGUCCUCCAUUGCCUGUGCCACCUCCAGCAAAGUUGGUCACUUCUCCAUCAGUGGUGCAAGUGGCCACCUCACCGACCUUGCUCAUGAUGCUUUCCCCUCCUACUGGCACUAUCACCAUCUGAGACCAAAAUUUUAAAUGUUUGAGUUUUGACAAUCUUCUAUAUUCCUAUUCUGACUGAAAAUAUUUGUCUUAUGCAUCUUUUUUCUAUUUAAAAUCUCUUGUGUUUGCUUUUACAUUUGAAUUUAUUUUAGUGGAUUUGUUUGCCCUUGUUAUGAUUUGGUGAUUCUUUUAAUGGUUUAAGGUUUAGUUUUAGUUGGGUGGUAGAGAUUGGAGAUGUUGACGAGCCCCUCAUGUAUCACCCAACUAACUCAGGCCAACCUUACCAGACCGCUGGCUAGCCUUGAGUUACAGGAACCCAUUUCAGGGUUGGGACAGAGUGGCUCAUUAAAAAAAAUCAUCAAAAACUUGUGUUGGUUUUGGCUCUGCAGUAAUCCAAUCAACUGGCUAGGUUCAAACCCUAUUGGGUACAUCAUACCACCUUAUAAACUAUUUACUCCCAUUUUAUUUCUGAUUGAAUCUAGCAACUUUGCUAUUGACCCCAUACACCCAUAAUAACAUCCUUGUCUUAUCGACAAUGGUUUGCCGUACCGAACAGUACCGCCCGGUACGGGCGGUACGUACCGGUCCGAUAGACUUUCGGUACCGAACAUCUGAUCUUACAACCAUGGUUUGCCGUACCGAACAGUACCGCCCGGUACGGGCGGUACGUACCGGUCCGACAGACUUUCGGUACGCGGACCGCCUCUUACCGUUCCGGUACUUUCGGUACGCGGACCGCCUCUUACCGUUUCGGUCGGUACACCCGUACCGUACCGUACCAAUCCUUCUUUAAGUUUAUGUAUCUUCAGGAAUGGUUUCUUCUUGUUAAACAAUCUAAGAAACCUGAAACUCUAAUUCUUGAAAAUUUCUUGACUAUAUUCCCUCAAUUUUUCUCUUUGUAUUGCUAAAGUUGCAUGUCAUAAACCAGUAUGCAAGAAUUAAAUAUCAUAAAUGAGAAAAUACUAACCAACAAGAAGGAAAUGAAAAGAAUUGUCAAACCAUGGAAUAUUUAUUCAGAGGUAGAGCACCAUAAGGUACUAGCCUAGGAGACUGUGCUGUCUCAAAGGUGUCAUUGCCAAUUUUGCAAUGUGAUGAGCAUGUGAGCCUUAGUAUGUGGCCCACGCUGUAACAUGCUAGCACAUAACGAACAAAAGGUUGUUACAGUAAAGGCGAUCCUUGGAUGAAAACAACAAUUCAAAAAUCGUUUUACAAGGCAAAGUAUUAGUGAGAGACUAUCCAACUCAUCUCAAAUUAAGAAAAUGAGACUCAAUGGGAAACAAGAAUAAAAGAAACAUAAAGCAUCGUAUGCUUUGUGGUGUAGAUAAAUCUACAGAACAUGAUUGACACGAAGCGCAAAACAGAAGAUAUCUAGGAAGUUCUUUUGAGUUACUUGAUCUAAGUAAAUUAAGCAAUAAGCCACAUUAAAAAAUAUGAUUGGCAUUGUCGCAACUUGCUAGGAUCCCCCACACUCAGGUAUUCAUAUGAACAACAAAAACAUGAAGUUAAUUCAAGUAUUCAACAAAAACAAACGAUAAGCCUCUGAGAAGACUCAGAAGGAUUUAUGUUACAAAUUUCUAAUCAAACAUGUAGCCAAAAAAAUACACCAGACAAGGAAGUAGUAAUAGAAAACUAAUUAAGAUUAUAAAAGAAUACAAACAUGGUCCAAGCAUUCCACCAAUCAAUCUAAAAGUUUGAAAAUAAGGACUAAUAUUAUGCACCUGUAUGCAAUUGCAUUAGCUUUUGUCCCAGUGAGCUAGACAAUGUAGUAAACGAUCCACAUUUUGAAGAUUCUUUGUAUUCAGCUACUUGUGAUAAUGUUAGAGAAUGUCCGUCCAACAUACUAGCCAAAACAGAAGUUGAUUCGAUCCGUACCUGUAGAUAAAAGGGAAGAAUCGAUUGAACAUACAAAUAGGUAAUAGGAAAAUAAAACACAACCACUUGAAAGAAGAGGUUGACAGAUUCCACAGAUUACAAACAGUAAUGCAAAACCAAGAGAAGAUAUAAUCUUCCUCGACAAAUGUGCAUGUAUGCUCCUCGGUAAGAAAGAAAACAUCAUAUAUGCAGUGAGUGGCAAAGCAGGGAAUUUGACGUGUUAGAAAAGUCUGCAGUAAAAAGUAAUCAACUCCAUAAUGGAGUCAUGCUAUGAAGCACAGACACAGACACAACACGAACACAUCGAGGACACAAAUUAUAUUUAAUAUAUACAUAUAUAUAUAUAAUAUUCCAUAACCUUUUAUAGUCUCUCCAUACACUUACUAAUGUAGCUUAUUAAUAAAAUAAGUCCAAUUUCCAUAACAAUUGUUGGAGCUUAUUAAUGUUGUAGUCAUGAUGCUGCUAUCUCUGUGUUACUAAUGAACAUCUAACUUGCAGUUUGGACUUAAACCAAAUGGAUUUUUUUGUCAUGAAGAAGAACACACUCCAAGAUGCGCUUUGUCCCUACAAUCAUGAAUCAACUACUAGAAUAAUAUGUUAACAAUUUAACUACUAAAAAAAUAAAUUUACCUACUAGAAUAAUCAGCAGUAAAAAAAACCAGGUUAGCAAUAAAAACUCAGAUUAAAACCCCAGAUUUUAAAACCCAGAUUCAAAAACUAAAAAAAUAAAAUAGGUAAAUUAAUUUACCUUCGUUGGACGCCAUCCAAAUUAAAAAAAUAAAAAAUAAAAUAGGUAAAUUAAUUUACCUUCAUUGGACACCGCUGAGAAAGAAGCUUCGCUGGAUGCCGACAAGGUCGCCAAGGGCCCGAGAGCGUGCGACGGCUACCGGGUCGCAGGUGGGUCACUCGGGGCGAUGGGUCCAACAACACGACGACAAUGCGAUGGCCAUAGAGGGGUGCUCGGAGCGAAGGGCAUGAGAGCACGACAACGUGCAACAACAGAAGGGGGCUCAGGGCGAAGGGCUCAAUCAUCACAACAACACAAGACGACAGAGAGGCGAGCUCGGGGAGGAGGGCUCGAGAGUGUGACAGCACGCGACGAUAGAGAGGGGGCUCAAGUUAGAUGGCUCGACAACACGACAAUGCGCGACAGCCAUCGGGUCGCAGGUGGGGCACUUGGAGCGGAGGGCUUGGUAGCGCGACUCUGUCAGAGGCUUCGCAGGGACGCAGGUCAGUUGGCAAGGGGCGGGGCCAAAGGAUGAUGAUGGGACGCAAGUGGGGAGCAGGCUUCGCUAGACCGAAUGCAGGCGACAGGUGGGGCAGAGCCUGCCUCUUCCACAGGUGGGGCGAAGCAAAGGCUACACCGGUGAGGAAGAAGGGAAGCCGGUGAGGAAGAAGGGUUCAAUCGAGUCUUAAGGUAUUUAACGCCAACGAUAGGUAAGAAAAUCCUUCCUCAAUUCGUGAGAAAAAGGAUUCCAAGCCUUCACAGUCCACUAGCAGUGAGGAAUCCCAGUUUCACGACACCUUCGCAGUCGUGGCACAGAAUCCCGACUUCGACAUUCUAAGUCGUAUCCAACACAAUUAAAAAAGAAAAUGACAAGGCUGGACAGACGUCCAACACGUGUCUGAAUGUGUCAAUGACGAAUCCGUGUCUGACACGUGUUAGACACGGGUAUGCCACUUAAUCUAGCAUGUCCAUGCUUCAUAGGAGCCAUCUUUACUGGUGGCAUUGCAGUUUGUUCUUCAACAAUAAAGAUGAGCUUCUAGAAAACCGGCUUUUGAAAAAGCUUAAGUAUAUUUCACAGGUAAAAGGCAUCAAAGGGAAGUCCAUAUGAAGACAAAAAACACACAACAGACUUUCAAAAAGCUUACCUUUAUUAUGGGAUCAAAGAGCAAACAUGUCAUCAGAUUAGCCUCGAAUUUUCUGCGGAACAACAAUUGCACAAAGUGAUGGUAAAAAGACAAAAUAAAGAAAAAAAAGCUCAUAGCAUCAAAAGGUCAAUUGAGUCGAACCUUGAUUGUAGCACAUCAUUCUCAGGUAAAAGUAGCAUCCAGAGAGAAGUAAGUGACUUUGGAUCAGCAUGGCAAAGAUCCUUAGAAUAGAAAUAAAACAAGUACAAAAUGCUCUCAGCACACUAUUUUGAAAUAGCAAUAGAUUUCAGAAUUUUGACAACUGGAUGGAACCAAAAAUUACAGGACCUAGUAUCAACUAUCAAGCAUGGUAAAAGCAAGGCCUCCAACCUAAAAAUCUAAUAGCUUUAUGUUUUAACUCAUCAUGCAUCUAUACAGAUUUUUAAAUAGGUCUACAUUAAAAGAAAGGAUGACUACAUCUCAAAUCAAAUAAUCAAUAACCAGCUUCUAUUCUAUGGCCCAUUAGAAAACAUUUUCGAAUUUUUGUUUCAUAAAGUUCUCCAACUACUUCAAAGAAAUUUUAAAGAGCAUAUGAAAGAUAUAUUCAGCUCUAAUUGGCAAACAACUAAGAUUUAUGCACACAAACCUAUCAAUGGAGCCUUUUGCAUUACCUGUUGCAUCUACUUGUCAUUCACUGCUUAUUUGGAUGAUCUCAAGUCUCAACUACUAUCAACUUCCUAACAGUCUAACAGCCAAGGCAUCAUUAGAAGAAUAAUGUUUUUACAAGCUACAGCUAACAUCAAAUAUCUCGACCUUAUGAAAAAUAAUUCAGCUUAACCAUCUUACUUUUUGAGCAAAAUAGCAGCUUUAAGUCCUGACAUGGGACUUAAAGCACCCUACAACAAUACAUCUUUUCUUUAGUUGAUAAGAUUGCAACAAACCUGAACUUGCAGAAAAGUUAACCUGAGGGAUUUAAUGUAAACAAGAAAGUACCUGUAUGCAAGUAAGUGCAGCCAACCUAACUUUUGAGCUUCUGAAACGGUCUAUAUGCUUAGAAGAGCCAUCGCUAUCACUAUGAUCCGAAUCUGAUGAUGUGAAACCAUAUUUUGAAGGCACAUGGUCUGAAGAACACUGAGCAUCCAGUGUGUCAUUAUUAGGACCAUCCUUCUUGCGCAAGUGUGGUGGUUUAUAAGGACCGGGAACACUUUUUAUGGAUUCCCCCAACCCAGAUUUUAUGCCAGAAGAAAUAAAUGCUUUUUCCUUCAAAUCACUGAUCAUAGGUCGUAAUGAAGAUCUACUGGGGAGACCAUACACAAGAAAUAAUUGCAAUGUUGCUACCAAACCUGGCACCUUAGAUUUUCACAAAGAAAGUUAUCGAAGGUUAACUAACAAAAUUCAUUCAAAAUAAAGACACAGCAGAAGCUACAGACAUACAUGCCCUGAAAGAGAACCUUUUGGCUCCAAAAGAACCAAAUGCAGACAAUUAAGAAGAUUCAACAAAAGCCUGCAAAAAGAUAAGAGGUUAUAUUCAAGACUUCUGCUUGUCCAAUUAUGGGAAAAAAGUACCUUGACAUGACAGAGUUUUCAAGCAGCAAGUUCUUCGACACCAAGUAAUCUAUUACUUUCCUCAAUACCUGGUGACAAGAUAAAAUAUGCCACAGCAACUAUAGAUACAGAGACAAGUUAAAACAAAGAAAACAAGUCACCUCAAUUGUUGAUUGCCAUAAGUUGGCCGGGAUAGAAGUUCCAAUUCCAGUUAAAGCAUCACACAUCAUGGAAAGUGCAUGAGUUUGUAUGUCCCAUAAAAUGUUGCAUAGAGGAUUUCUAUGUCCAGAAUCAUUGAAAGGACUGUGGGUUCCAUGUGGAUGAUGUAGGCUAAAUAACUCAGCAUGCAAGCAUGAAACAAGACAAACAAGAAGCCUGACUAACUCCAUAAUCUCAGAUAAUGAAUUGUUUCUUCUAUAUGCUUUGACAGCAAGCCUGAAAAUUUUGGUAAAGAAUUAUUUGUCAUAUAACUUACAGCAUCCAAAAAUGUGAAAGGUAUUUGAUUUUUUAAAUGCAGAAACCAAAAGAUGAUACCUUCUAAGCACCCAAAAAAUGGUUUAUUUAGUAAUAUUAUAAUCAUGGCAUUUCUACACAAAUACCUCAAUGACAUCCUCUGAUAUAAUGAUGCCAAGGUAGCACCUGACUUUCUUAUCAUGGUAAAUUUGGACAGAAAACUUGUACAGAAGUAAAAACAAAUCUGUGUUCUCUGACCGGUUUCCUAUAGUGAGCUUGAUCAGAAAAGGCCUGAGUCACCAGACACUUAUUUGUCUCAAGAUACCUAAAAAACAGAAGCAGGAUUAGGUGAUGAGCCAACAACUAGGUAGCAGCUCAGCUGGAUGGCAUGCUGGACAGCAUGUUUUAUGCUGACUCAACCAACCAAAAUAACCAGCCAAAGCACUGGUUGGAUUUAUUGAUUUUGGCACUGGCUUAAACCAACUAAUUUUCUCCCAUGUGCAGAAGCCAACAAUCAGCCCAACUGCAUUACUGAAUUAACAUGAAGUGGUCUGAUCGACCCAAAUGCUUAUCAGCCAUCCUGAGGUUUCCCCUUCGUGAACGCUGUUGACAAAGCAGCAACUGCUAGCUAAAUGACGCUCACACAAAUUGUGAAAACUUGGGAUCAUGACAAACUUGAUAUAAAAAAAAUUAAUCACACACAAGUUUACUGAAUUAAUGGUCCAAAGAAAGGAAUAAGGCACCAAGGAUCCAUGUGACAGACUUGUGACUACUACAAUGUGCCCUGCUCAAGACAUCACCUGCAGUUUCUUGCUAUCCAAUGUGCCCUGGUUAAGACAUCAAGAACUCAAGAAAUCAAAACUGAGAUAUUGAACCCAUAUCAUUUAAACUCUAGAGGAUAUAGAUGCCCACAUUAGAUGAUGCAAGUUGAUUAGAAUUAUUGGUGGGAAAAAAGCUAGAGGAUACCUAAAAAUACUUUGUUGGAAAUCGACCUAAAUAAAGCUCAAUAAUAGCAGGAAAAAGGAUCCAUGUAGUCAUCCCCAAAUAGCCGAAACUAAGAAUGGUGGUCAUUGCAUAUUCACUGUACCGAUACUGAUAAAGUAUGUUAGUACCAGGCUACCAGCAUAUAUUGCAUGGUUCAUCUUACCGGUCCGUACCAAUGUACCGACCAGCUGUCGGUACGGUACAUAUCGAGCUGUACCAAACAUACCAACACAUGGUACAUGGGAGCAUACCGAUGUACCGCCAAUACCGGUCCCCUAUCGGACUGGUACAUACCGCCCGUACUAAGUGGUAUAACAUAGUACGACGAACCUUGAUAUAUUGUCCUCACUAAUAUCACUAAACAAAUAAAGCAUAAGUAGAAGCAUCAUAUAACUCAAUAUUAUAUGAUACAUUAUCUACAGGCCUGAUACAGUCAGUACACUAAGGUGUUUAAAUCCAUGAACAUAAAUGAGUGAAUCGGUGACUAGGGCUACAAGUUUAGCUCAACAAUCCCAGACAGACUGUACGUGGCUUUCUAAUACAGAGAUGCUUUGUAAUGAGCCCAAAUAAACAUAACAUGCAUGAUCAUCACAUGAGCCAAGCAAGAACUUGUCUGCAUGAUCGAUGCCAAUGAUGCCAGCAUUAAAAUGAAUGUGCCAAGAUUGACGCAGGCUUAAUCAUGAUCAGACCAAACACUACCUUUGGACUGGCAACCAAUCUGAAAUUUAGCUAUGCUCAAAUAUCAUCUAGGUUCGAUUAACCAAGCUCGUACAUGCAUUUAUUAUUUCAAAUAUUUUUAACAGGCCCGGCUAUGAUGCUCAAAUAAUCCUAUAAUGAAUGUGGUUGAAACAAAAUGAUAUAUAAGUAACUACAGAAUUUCAAAGAGCAACUACUGUGAUUAUGUUGGGCAAUGCCUAAAUGACCUUAGAUAGUGCAAACAGGAGGUCUCCUCGACAAGGCAAUCUUUUCGUCACUGCCAAUUUCACAUAUUACACAAAAAAAUGGACUUAGACAUCAGGUUGUUAUGAUGAAAUCUAAAGAUAAAUGCAUAGUAAUACAACUUCAAGAAUUCUCUUAUUUAUCUUUUUGCUUCAGAUGAAAACAACAUAUGCAGAUUGUGUUGAUUCAUUAUCAACGAACAAACACCAAGCAAGUGAACAAGAACUGAGAAAGAAGGCUGAGAACUAUUAACAAAAUUGUUAUAGUUCACUAACCUGAGAAUAUCUAAGACCUCGGUUAGUGCUUUCAUUCUAGAAGUGUCGUCCAUACAAACACUACUAUUAUCAGUAUUACCAAGCAAGUGCUCCACAACCCUUUUAAGAAUGUUCAGUAUUACGGUCCAAGAAGAAGAACUAAUGCCAAGGAAGACUUUGCAACUAACAGCAUGUAUCUGCACUGGAUAUGAACAGCAUCAGGGGCAGUAAAUGGUAAUGGCAGCAUGUAUAAUAAAACAAUCUCUGAUUACAUAUUAAGACACAAUGUCAUACCAACAAUUAUUAAUGUCAUACCACUAGAAAACCAAAUAUCACAAAAGAACAGAAAAUAUAGAAUUUCAAACACAAAAAAAAGGAAAAUUUUAUAGAAUCUCAAACACACUUGAUGAUAACAUUACAAGACAUGCAAAGCCUAUGACUAGUAUCAGACAAAGAUAUCAUCUUUUCCCUGUUAAAAAGGAUAUCAACCUAAAAUCGAUAGCACAUUUACAUAAUGCAAUUUUGAAUAAAAUUCAUGGAUCAAAAGGGACUAAUCAUUCCAGAGGUUUCACCUUCACGCAUUCUAGUACGAAACCAUCAGUACAAAGAUCAUGGUAUAAAGCAUGACACAUGAUGGCCACAGACAGGUAAAGCACAGGACAGUCCACGAUAUAAACUUAAUUUCUGAGGUCAUAGAAUUUUCUAUACAUAAGUCAGAGAAGAAGAACAUCUCAAGAAACUGCUCAGAUUCAUUACUUACUGUCAUUGAUGGUACUUCCAGGAACUUAAUCUCUGUCGCCAGAGGAUUUUCAAUCCACCAAAUUUUGGUCAUAGAAGAAUGUAUCUACAAAGAGAUAAUAAACAAUUAUUUUGCUCUUAUUGUUUUUUAUUCUUAUUAGAAUCUUGGUCUAUCUUUCUAAAGAGAUUUUAAAUUGUGGCUGUCUUUGGUUUCUUUGACUAGGGAGGGGUAGAGUACUUGUUUCCUCAGUGUGAGGAUGCUUGUUGACCAAAGCGCCAAGCUCUACUUAGCCAAAAUAAAAGUUUAUGGAAGAACAAACAAAAUUCAUCGGGUGCAUCGUCCUUCUGAAUCCAAAAAAAAGAAUCCUACCGAUGAUCUAAAAUUCUCAACCCGUAUGCAUCAGAGCAUCUAAUUUGAUAUACUGAACACUAGAAUCCUGAAGAUAUAAUCAAAGAAAAAUCAGCAAGUUGUAUCCCAAGCCCCAGUGACUUGGAUCACUGUUUCGAAUAGCUAGAUCAUCGAAGGAACAACUUGAUGCAUCAAGAUCAACUUGAUGCAUCAAGAUCAACUUGAUGCAUCGAGAACGCAAGAAAGCACAAAGAAUACCAAAUGGCACGUCCACAGCAACACAUCAUCCACAUCUUUGCACACCGAAGCCGCCGACGCCAGCUCAGCGAGCAGAACCAAAUCCGAAGUCACCUGAAACCAUCAAAUCUCGCUCCCUCAGGAACAACCCAAAGAUCAAAAAGAAGGGUUCGAGAACGGGAUUCCAGCGUCACCUCGUGAGGGGGCAGAUCGGUUGCGGCGGCGACCAUGGCGUCGGAGGGGUGGGAGAGGAUGAGAUCGCGGAGGAGAGCGAGCAGGGCGGGGGGAGGGGGCGAGGCUAGGGUUUCGUCUCGGAGGGUGAGGAACGCCGUCCGCCAGCAGCGGACGCCGGAUGAGGACGGCGCCAUAGCGGGACCCGUUUCCAACCCGGACUUCAUUUCUGGGUUUUUAAACGAGCGAGGCGGAAUGCCGGAUGAAGACGACGACGCCGGGCCCAAUUCCAAGCCCGAGUUCUUUGGUGGAACGAUCCACACAUCGGGCCCUUAAUCUUCGAGUCUGUUGAGGGUAUACAUGUAAUUUUGGGAAACGUGCAACAAUGAAAGGCUGGGAAUUGAGUCUCUUGACACGCAUGAUUUGAAUUAAGUUAUAUGGUGUAAUAAAAAUAAACCCUAUUGUGAUGAUUAUUUUGAUGGUGUAAUCGGGCAUCAUAUUAUGCUGUAAUCAUAUUAUUGCUUCGACCGUCCGAACAACUGAUUUUAUUUAUCUAAAAAUACUUUUUUAAAAUAUAUAUAAUAUAAAUUAUUAAAAAAUUUAAAUAAUAUAAUAAAUAAUAUUAGGCAUAAAAAAAUUAAUAACAGCAAUAAUACAGUAAAUAAUUUAAAAAAAUCAACCAUCAUUUUAAACAUAAAUUUUUAGCUAGAUUAAAUAAUAUCUGAUGAUAUCCAAAAUAUGAAUUAAAUCCAAACAAAGUGUUCAAUAAUAUAAAAGAAAUAGUCAUUAUGAUCAAAUGUAUAUUUAUAGUUUAUCAUGUUGGUGAUGAAAGGGUAAAGGAUGAUGAGAAAGUGAAGGGAGAUUUGAGAUAGACGACCAGAGAGGGUGGCCCAAAUAGAGAAGCAAUUACACGAGUGAGCUCACUUUCUUUCUCACGUCAUCCUAAUCUCAAAAUUAUCAUACAUAUUUAUAUUCAAUAAAAAAAUAUUUAAGUAAUUUUAGCUAUAUUUAUAAUUUAUAAAAUUGGAUCGGUUUUAAUGAACAAGAAUUGUGACGUGCCAUUUGUAUUGGAUGGCCCGGACCGGGUUCGACCCCAGCGGCUUAAUGGGCGGUCUUUUUGCUCCGAUUAGAAAGUAUUCGUUAUGGACCGGGUUCAUGGGCCUCAAUGUCGUGCGCCAAGCAAUCAUGACUGGGGUCCGCCUUAGAAUUACCAUGGUGCGCUCUGUGCUGGCUCGACGCGGGCUCCAUAUUGGGUGGGCCCGAAAUUUGGGUGGUCAAAAAAUCUCGAGUUACCAAAUAAUACGGUGCUAACUCGGAUGAUGCGAUAAAUAUGCACAAGACUUGACUCUCGGUAAUAGAAUUUGAGGAGGUCAGAGAGGAAGAGAGAGAGAGACGGGCUGUGCACGUGUUAACCGUGGAAAAGCCGACCCAACCUGCCGUGCAUGUGUUUCCGAACAGGACAAGUAUAUAUAUAGACGUAUAUGGCGUGCCUAAUGAUGGGGGCCAGUCCACGCCGGGACCCACGGGCUCGCCUAUCCACAUCAUUGUCGCUCCUUCGUGGGGCCCGUCCCCCACUCACCCUCCUCCGUAGUGUGCCAGUCAUGAGAGAACAGGUUACUCGCUGAAGCUACUUGCUAAUUAGGCAAAACUUGGACAAGGCCAUGGCGGAGGACAGACAAAUGGAGAUGUACUUAAGUGGUCAUGGCUUUGUGGGUUUCUGCAAUGGCUGAAAGCUGAGCUAGGGUAGAAGCAUGAUGUUAGAAGGUGGAAAGGGGCGGUGGGGACGACGCCAAAAGAAAUCUAAAAGGAAAAGGUGAUGGAUGGAUGGAUGGAUGGAUAGAAGGUGCGGGCGGUCCCACACACGCUGGAGUGGGCAGUGGAGGUGGCUGUUCAAUUACGUCUCCGGCAAUGUCCUCCUCUUUAAUCGGAGGUGUGUGUAGUACUUUGCAAAUCCGACUCCUAUUUGCUUGCAUAACCUGAUAAACCAAUAUCAUUACCUCUGUCGAGCUUGUCAUUCUAAGCUCCCACUUUGUUUGUGGCUGGAGACUGUUCCUAACCCUCACAGACAACAACAACUCUAUUUAUCAUGUAACGCAGAAACAAAAGCAGAAGAAACUGUUUAUGUUUUUCGAGUCAGAGAAGAGGGGAGAGAGAUGCGUUAGUUCUGAUGAGCUCAUCAAGUAGGUCAUCUUUUGAUCCACACAACUCAUUCAUAGGUUUCCGUGACACCGAUAGAACGCUGUUCGACCAUUAUUAUUAUAUUUACAUGUAAUAGAUAUAUACAUACAUACCAAAAUAUGAUAUAUAUAUAUAUAUAUAGAUAUAUCUUUGAUUUCUUUAGCAUUUGCAUAGUGGGAAGGUGGGUGAAAGCGGAUGAGCCUCACCGAAGCUUUACUUAUUAUACCCGCUGUCCCCCGUUUCCGUUCUCUGCAACUCUCUCUCUCUCUCUCGCUCUCGCCCGUCUCCUCUCCAUCACCUUCUCGCUCGUCGGCACGCGAGGUGGUUGCAGAGGAGGCUUUUGAUCUUUCUCCCUACAAUUUUUUGGGUGGCAGAAGAAAGCCUGAGAGACAUGUUAUCCAUGACCAACACUUGAAAAGUUGCCAUCUCCCAUUUAUUUCUCCACCACUGUUCUCCAGCUGCCUCUUUUCUUCCUUUCUUCUCUAUCUCUGCUGCGUCUUCUUGUUGGGCUCGGAUCAUUUCACUUCACGUACUGGCCAAUCCGAAGAAAUUUGACGUUGUUGAGUGGUUCAAGUCCCAAGACAGGUUUGAUCCGUCUUCGUGCUCCCCUCUGAGAGAAAAGUGCGGGAGAACGAAAGAUCCAGAUCUUACCUGCUUAGAUCUCAGUGCCUUCAUCGCCGUCUUUCUCCAGGUAAUACCUACAGGUGAGCUUUCCAUACUGAGAAUGUUAAAUUUCGUCGAUCAUGGAUAUCUGCGUUUCUCCUUGAAGGAAAUUAGGUCAGCGAGUUAAGAUGCAACUAAAGAUCUCCAUGGUUUUCUUCCUCUUCUCGUUAUUUUGUCCACUUCGGUGGAGAUCUGCAUGUCAAGUUAAUCAUCGCUCACCGCACGCCCUAAGCAUCCUCAUGAAAGCAUUUCUUAGAAAUGCACCUUGUUCAUGCGAUCUACAGUCCUCGAUCAACGGAAUGAGAGAUCCAUGGCAUAGAGAAGCGCGAACAUGAUCGUUACGAGAUCUGCUUCACUUCUUUUCUCGCAAGAUGUUGCGACAAACACUUAAAUGGAAGGAGAUAUUUCAUGGGUGGAUUAGUGAACUACGUAUGAGCUUUGUCCAUAUAUAGCGUGACAACAUUCUCUUGAGCUAUUCUUGAGGACCUUCAUGCGUGAUAUAAAUCAUUGCUAUAUUGCUUUGUUCAGAAACAAAGAGAAAUCUCACUAGUGAACCAUCGUUCUUUUGUAGGCCACAUUUUUACGAGACAUUCCUUGAGGAUAUCCACCGGAUCAAAUAUAUGUCAGGAGCCUUUUUUAUCUUCCUUUGAGUCUUCGAUGGACCUCAAACCUAAGUUGUGACGAAUGUCUAGCGUGUAGAAGGCAACAGAUGUGUUGGGAAAACAAAAUGAAGAAAAUAGUUGAACAAAAUGAAGGUCAAAACAUAUUUUAUCUCACUAAACAUGCAACUUAUCUUCAGGCUUUGAUGCUUUUCAAAUACUUUCAUUCAGAAUUGCAAGUUCAUUUGAUACCAUAGGAAAACUAAUAAGAUUUACUGUGGCAAUGCUUAGCAUAAAAAGAAAUCUCAUCUUUUAUAAUAGAAAUAAGGUGUUUUCUAACUGUAAUAGGGUUCAACAACUGUCAUUCACAUAUGAUGAUGGAAGAAAUGUUUGACAUUACUAAAGCUCGAGAGUUGCAUAUGAUCUCCCUAAGGAGUAGUGCUGAUAUAUGAUGGUUUUAUGCCAUGCAUGUAUUCCAGGGUGCAGAGAAAAGAAGAACUGACAUAUAUAUAAUUACACUUCUGCAGAGAAAUCUUUGGUGCAGUGAUACUCCAUCACAGCAAAGAUAACUAUGCUUAUUAUCAUGACAUGGUUUGCAGGACUUGGCGCAACAUCACGGCAAGAGUAUGAACACCAUCUCGCACGUUCCACCGGGCUUUCGGUUCCACCCCACCGAUGAAGAACUGGUAGAUUACUACCUGAGGAAGAAAGUGGCUGCAAGAAAAAUCGACUUAGACGUAAUAAAAGAUGUGGAUUUGUAUAAAAUCGAACCUUGGGAUCUUCAGGGUACAUCUCACACAAAACCUCAAGUACUUCUGCUCCUUUCAGACUUGAACUGAUCAUGUUUACACCAUCACAUAGAGAUCUGUAGGAUAGGAGCAGAAGAGCAGAACGAGUGGUACUUCUUUAGCCACAAGGACAAGAAGUAUCCAACCGGAACUCGAACUAACCGAGCAACCACAGCUGGAUUCUGGAAAGCCACUGGAAGAGACAAGCCGAUUUACUCCAAGCAUAGAUUGGUCGGAAUGAGGAAGACUUUGGUCUAUUACAAGGGUCGAGCACCAAAUGGUCAAAAGUCAGAUUGGAUCAUGCAUGAAUACCGUCUUGAAACAAGUGAAAAUGGACCUCCACAGGCAAGUUUAUUCUCAUUUAAACUUCACCUUCUCAUGUCAAAGACUGAUAGAACAACGAUGGCUCAUGCAGAGCAUGCAUUCAUAUCUACUCUAAUAUUCUUCUUUAAAGUCUGCAAACUAAAACGCCACCAUUGCCGUCUUAGCUAAACUCCUUUAAAAUCGAUAGCCACAUAUAUAUACAUGUCCUGAUCUUAUACAAAACAUUUACAUCUUAUACCAGAAUGAUUAUAAUUAGAUAAACCACUUGCAACAUACGAUAUAAUUAAUUAUACAAGAAAUUCAAGUGGCUUUGGUUGGUUGCAUUUUUGACUUAGUUUAGCCUGAAUUAAGCAGCUUCAUGUUGUGAUUUACUCGACUCUUUCAUCUGCUACGUUUAGUCUAAAGCGUUUACUGCAGAUUGAAACAAUAACCAAGUUCAUAUUCCCGGCAAUUCCUUGAUAUUUUUAGUCUUGAAGUGCCAUGUCUGAAUAGAUUCUUGCAAAAUUGAUCUCUUCUUGCAAGUGAUGAUUAUUCUGCAUGACAUGGUUUUCUACAAUCUUAUCGUGAUCAUAUGUGUCCUGUAACUUCAUGUUACAGGAAGAGGGUUGGGUUGUGUGCAGGGUGUUCAAGAAACGAGUGCCGACCGCAAGAAAGGCAAGUGAUGAAUUGCCAUGGUACGAUGAGCAAGGUUCCUUCAUGCAAGACAUCGACUCCCCAAAGAGGACCAUGCCGCAGCCUGCCAUGGAGUAUCAUCAUCACCACCAACUCUAUUCCUACAAGAGAGAGAUAAAACUGCAUUACCGCUCGCCGCACGAAGCUCUUGAUCACGAGCUCCCACCAGUAGAGCCCCCCAUGAUUUUUAGUUACCUGAACCACGGAGACUCCCUACAGCGACUCAUCUUCUCGGAGAAUGAAGCAGUGCAACCUCGACACCAACUUCAGGCAACCACGACGGACAACAACGAUGAAAACGUAAGCCAAGCAUCAGACCAAGUGACGGAUUGGAGGAUUCUCGACAAGUUCGUUGCAGCUCAGCUCAGCCAUGAUGGCUCAAAGAAACCUAUCUACUCGGAUGAAGACGACCUUCUUCAAGUUGCCGAUGAACAAGAAGUUGCCAUGGAGUUCCCGUCGACAUCCACGUCGAGCUGCCAAAUGUAUCCGUGGAAAUGAAACAUGAAUUCUCCUAUGUAGCCAGCACGAUAUGAAUCAUAUAUGUGCGAGUGAUGAUUAUGGUUGUGUACAUAAGGUACUAGACGAUUGCGAUGCGGCUGUUAUUCUAGAUAUUCCUACUUAUGAAUGAAGCAAAGACUACUAAUAUGAAUGUGUGCCGUGAUGUUAUUUGCUUCAUCAGAAAAUUAACUACGAUGCAUGACAUUUGCACCGCAGGAAGUCGCCUGCUGAGGCUCAAACGAUCAAAGUCAUUUUGUAGAAUAUGUACAACCAAUAUGAAAUCAAUCGCACACUAUCCAUUCCAUCUUUCAAUAUAACUUAGGACCUUCUGCGUACAGCAUCCGUUACCUUAAAACCAAAUGUCAGACGUGAAGAGAAAGAACCACUGAUAUGCAAGAAAAGAAAGAACAUGAACCGGUUUUAAAGCUAUUGAAAGAGCAAUCCAUUAAUCGUUUCAUGGAACAAGGAAGCUUCAUGCUUCAGUUUUGCAUGUCAUUGCAUCGAAUACAAACACAAACAUGAAAAGCUACACGUAAAGGAAUUCUAGUCAGAAUAGUUUUAAGGUUUGCCUUUUUCCAGUUUAUGUACGUAUCGAUGACGAUAAGAGCAACACAGCUUUGUUGCAGAUAAAGAGUGUUACAGACCAUUACGCCAACACUUACAGAACAACUAUCAUCAUCAUAAUUUAGAACAUAAAACAGAUAAAUUUGUGACGGUAAAAGGACGAAUUAGCAAUACUAACCAUGUUGUCAGGUACGUACCAUGAAGCUUUUGUUCAUCCAGUGAAUAGUCCAGUUUAUAUAGAUAGCAUGACUUCAAGGCUAGGUGUGGAUGAUGCUCUAUGUACUGAAUCCAUAAGAACUCCAGGAAAAUUAGGCUUUGUCCGUAACACUAAAGUUGUAGUAAUGAUGGUAGGAUGUCAUGCCCGUUCUGCAUCUACUGAUGUGCAGGGUAUGGAUCAAGGCAAAGCUAGACACAAGCAUACAACUAAAGCAUUCGAUGGUCUUUGAAGCAGAUCAGUUCCUACGGAAUUCUAGCAUGCAUCAUCCAAACCCUACGGGGAAGAAUUAAUCGUUGGCCAAAGAAAGAUACAGCUGGGAGUUAAUAAGCAAUUGGCUAUGAAGAAGAUUGACCAUAAUGCAAUAUUUGAUGCUCACAGGAAAAUACAAGUAAAGGAUAUCGUCAGAUGAACAUCUUACUUAUCUCAGCUCGACAAUUUGGCAGCUUCCGUUGUCACCAAAAAGAAUGCUGGUAACAUCAAAGUCGAGUCCGAAGAAGCAUCAGCUGCUGGAAACCCUAAGAAACCAUAAGAGUAUAUAGCACGUCAGAUCAUCUUCCUAUGUUUGCUUACCCUUUCAGGUCACCUAUGCAGAGAACGUCCGACAACCAAGUGAAGCUGCGUUCCUCGCGAGAGCUACAACAAGAGAAGGAGCAGAACACUGGAUUUGAUCAACAGAGAGAAAGGAAGCAGCAGUACAAAAAUGCCUCCCACCCACUCGGCCUUCAAUUUUGUGGACUAGAAGAACCCACCAGGAAUCCAUGCAGGCAAGCAAAGCUAUAUCCCCUUCUUCCUUAAAGCAAACUAUUUGUCUAUAUAUCACACUGAGAGAGAGAGAGAGAGAGAGAGAGGUGUGAGAUCCAAGGUCAAAAAAGGUGGGCUGUUGGGAACUAAGUGGACAUGAGAUGCAUGCAAUGUAAAGGCAUCGGGACGUGGAAGAAUUAUUAAGGUGAUGUUAGUAAGUGUUGUUUGUAGACGAAGAUAACAUGAUGCCUGCGUGAAAGCUCUCAUGUGACCACUCAUCAUGCUACCACCACCUAUCCCCGUCCCUCCUUUCCUUCCACGCCAGUGGCCUGAGACCCACCUUAAGCCCUCCUGACACCCUCUCUAUCUAAUCUUAUCUAAUCAUCACUUCCUUCCAUCUAUCCUCUAUAUAUCUAUGUAAUUACAGAAUCCAAACACUGCAUUAAUCAUCCUCGCCGACCUUUUCUCUACUUAUUUAGUUGGCACUACUCACGGCCAAAAGGAUAGGUGACAAAAGCAAAGGAGAGUUCUUCAGAUUUAAAAGUAGAUCGAGAAUAGAUAUAACACUAUAACCUACCCAUUAGAAUAGAUGAUCUAUGGUGGUUCAUGCGAUGAGUAUGUACAGUGUCCAUGUACCAUCGCUGUGGCUCUAUACGUAUAGAUAUCUGUCUGCAUCCUCAUGUUCAUGUAUACCCGGGAUAUACUUGUGGAAGCAAAACCCAAUAAUUAUACGCUACAAAGGGAAAUGGGUACGUACUUUUACGUGGUACAAACAUGUCACUGAUGGAUGAUGGCGAUGAAGAGAGGAUCCAUGAUAACUGGUUCAUCCCCACACAUGACAACUACUGGAAACAGAGGCCACUAAGGAGACAAUGCUUCUGACUCCAGUGAUUGAUGUCUACCCUCCCUGAGCCAGACAGCAUGGGAAGCAAAGCUCAUGAUGUUGCUUUUAAGGUCCGACACCUCAUGUCCUAUAUGUAUCCAAAGCUUUUUUUUGGACUUAUUUCGCUCUGAGCUUUGUUCUUUUUGACUCUUAUCCCCCCCUACAUUGACUUCCCCGUAGCCAAUGCAUUCUUCUUUUCCUCUGGGAAAAGAGAGAACAAAACAUUUGUCACCUCGAUGGUUCUAAAGACAGUGUUAUGUUCCUUUGAGGGAAAUGCAUGAAUAAAUACUGUCUCAAUAAAUUUUUAUUCAAAUAUAGGUCAUAGUUAAGAUCAAACUUAGUUGGAGUCCUACUUCAAUUCAUUUCGAGUUAUCAUACUUCAAUUCAACUUAAAUAUGAUCUACUCAAAUCUAAGCUCGAAGCUCAUGUUUGACUUCGACUAAGAGUCCUAUUCUAAUUAGGAGUCUUCUUCUUUAAGACAAUAACAAUAUAACAAAUUGAUUAGAAAGAAAAGAAGAAAAGAAAAGACGAUAAUAAAUUUAUUGUCUCAAGAAAUCUAGAUAGUCAUUCAACAAUUUUGAGCUUAUAUGCUUGAGUGGCUUCUUGGUUGUAUGUUUAGGUUUUUUUUUUUAAUAACAAUAAUAUUUUUUUGCUUCAAAAAUAUAUCAAUCAUCUCACAAAAUAAUAAUAUUUCUUUUAAUUUGCAUAAAUAAAUUUUUAUAUUAGCACAAAAACUAUAUCCAAUUUUAAGACCAUCGAUAAAAGCCUAAUUGUUGAGGUUUCCUUCAUCCUUCGAAUACUCUCACCCAACAAUAAUAAAUCUAAACUAUUUUUUAUCAUAAAGAUUUUGUAUGUAUUAACUAUUAUUGAUCGAGAAAUUAGAAAUGGUGCAUCUCAUCAUCUCUUAUUUUUUUGGUUUUUAUUCUUAUUUUUAUUCGCUAUGUGCCUUUAUUUUAUUUAUUUUCUUCACGUUCGUGCGUGUUUCUGUUUUGUUUUUGCUUUUUAUAGGGAACACUCUGUUGCAGAUAGCAUUUCCUUGGAUAAUAAAUUCCCUGAAAUAUUUUUGUGUUUGAAUAAGAAUUAUAACCAUGCCGUUGUCCUCCUCGAUCGGUGGCUUAGGAGACGGCCCGGUCGUUGGGGGGAGCUCCUCGAGGAAGGGAGGAAGACGGAGGGCGAACUCGACGUCGAACUCUCCGCCUACGAACGCCAAGCUCGCUUCCGGAUGCUCUCACUACUCUUCUGGUCUUAGAACCCUAUCUACACUUUUCUCCUUCUCCUUCUUCUUGAUUUCUCAUUGGACCUUCUCUGCCCUAGUUGAUUCCUCUUCGAGGGACACGGACGAUCUUUCCCGGUGUUUCGUUUGUUGUUAUGGUCACAGAGAGCUUGACCCAGAUGAAAGAUGUCGGCGGCCUCCGAUGUAAACUUUUCGGGCCUGGUUCCCGGGCCCUGGGCUCUAGGCCUUUCCAAGUUUGGGAUUCUGUAGCAUCCGUACCCUGCGCCAUGGAGGUGCGGUACACACGACACCGAUGGCCAUCAUCACAUAACUAAUCGACGGAGAGGAGGGGCAGAGGAGAGAGCACGAUCGCCAGUAUCCCAUCCAACCGCGCCCUCGCCCUUUCCCAACCGCCCUCCCCCAGCUUUCUCGCGAGACGAGACAUCUCUGCCACUCCUUUGGCGUUCCUCAUUUCGUAGCCUUCAUCCACUGCCCCAAUCCCUAGAGGCGAAGGAGGAGGCGAAGGAGGAGGCGAAGGAAAGAACAGAGAAAGGGGAAAGAAAUCCUGAAUCCAUUGGUUUUUCGUCUCAUCUUCUCAGAAUUAGUUUUUGACGGCCUCGAUCUGAAGGCACAAGCAGACAUGAGUGACGGAGGAUUUCUCGGCAUCCAGCCGACGGAGCUCAAAGUCCCUUGUAAGCAACCUUUACUUCUCUGAUAUUGUACUUGUCCUAUAUUUUUCCGCCGAUCGAUCAAUGCUUGUUUAUCUGUUCCUUUCGCGGUUUUGUCCUAUAUUUUUCCUUCCGUGCGCGCGCGCGCGCACACACACAUAUAAAGUUGUCAUUUUGCUAACGGGAUUUGCCGGCUGGUCAUGCGUCGAGAAGUUGAGUUGAAGAAGCAGAGCUCAUGUUCCAUGCAGCUGACCAACAAGACAGAUCAAUAUGUUGCUUUCAAGGUAAUUGUUUUCGUUUUUCUUAUCAAAUAAUUGUCGCUUUCUCAUUCUUUUCUUUGUUUUCAGCUGCCAUUUCUUCUUGUUUAGUGGUAAUCGGAAUAAAUUCUCUAUGUUGACAUACAUAUGUAUAUUUGCUGAUGUUAUAUAGGUUAAAACUACGAACCCGAAGAAAUAUUGUGUCCGCCCCAAUACCAGGAUUGUAUUGCCGAGGUCCACAUGUGAUGUCACUGGUAAACCCUGUUAUCUCUCGAUCUAGUUGGAGAUGUAGAUACUUGGUCAGUUCAGAGUACUCGGUCUUACUGCUUGUCUUUAUUUCCUGUGUUUGAUGCUUUUGUCACCAUGCAAGCACAAAUGAAGGCUCCAUCAGACAUGCAAUGCAAUGACAAGUUCCUACUUCAGAGUGUCAUAACAGAGCAUGGUGCAACGACCUAAGCCAUAACCUCCGAAAUGGUCCCAACCUGUGCUAUGUUCAUUGGGAUACCUUAGUAUUUCUUCUGUUCAAUUUUGGUUGUGUGAUUAUAACUUAUACUACUAACCAUCAGUUCAAUAAAGAACCUGGUAAGGUUGUUGAUGAGUUCAAGUUGCGGGUCACUUAUGUUCCUGCUGGUCCUCCCUCACCUGUUCCUGAGGAACCAGAAGAAGGAUCAUCCACAUUGGAAAACGGGCUUCAUAGUUUACAAACACAAGAUUCUGUAAGUGGCUGUCAAUUAAUUGAGGCCCUUAAUAUGUCAUUCACAGUUCCUUGUCCUUAUUUUUAUGUUAUGUAUACCUGGAGUUAUCUUGCUUCAAUUAGUUCAAUUGACUUCAACAAACUUUCAGGUAUCAAGAUAUAGCGAGCCGUCAAAGGAGAAGUCUUCAGAGGUUACUUCUUCCCUUUAUCUGUUCUUGGUCUAACAAUUUCACAAAAUUCCUAUAAGUUAGUUUUGUCUUGAAAGCCUCUUUGGUUUAAUAUUUUGCUCCCCUUAUGUGGAAAUCAGUAAUGCUUUCUUAAACUUAGAUGUGGAGAUUAUUAGCACUGGAAGAACUAAUUCUGAACAAGUUUGUGACAACCAUCCAUCUUAUCAUCCUUAACUUGGUUAAUCAUCUAAUCAUAUCUGCAAGUAAUAUUGCCAAUGGAGGUCAUUGCCCCUGUCAGCUGUCACAUUGAAAUACUUAGAUAUGUAAUAUAUGGUGUUUUUAUUGCACCAUUUUGGUUCAUUGAAACUUUAUUGAUUAACUAAUGAAAUUAAGAUCCCACCAUCAUCACUAGUAUAACUUUUUUGUAACCACCAUCUCAUCACCACCACCACAGAAAUAGUAUAACCAAUGCUGCUUACACUACGUUGCUACUGUCACCAUGACCAUCACCAUCUGCACCCACACUAUUAGCUUGACAACACAACAAAUUGAUUAUUAGAAAAGAAUAAAAGAUAGUUUCAGGAAUAAAGGAACAUGUUUCUUCAAAUUUUCCACGAAGAUAUGAAGUCAGAAACAAAGAUGAAAAUGAAGAUGAAACUGGAAAAUUCUUUUUUUGAAAAGAAAUAUACCCAAAUUUUUGUUGAAAAUCUUGAAAGCAAUUUCCCAUAUUUGUAUAACGGCAACAACAACAUCAAAGCCUAAGUCUCAACUAUUUGGGGUUCGCUAACCUUAUACAGUUUUGUCAUUUCUAUAAACAAACCUCAUAAAAGUCUUCCGAAAGAAAACAGAUUUCCAUGACUUUUUGGUGCAAACCAAACACACACCCUAAGAAAAAAAAAAAACACAAAGGGUGCAUUGACACAUUCCUUGAUGUGGCAGGGAAUUCAUGUCAGUAUUGCUUUGGCAUGGUAGUUGGACUCCGUAUUUAUGCAGCUCUGGUUGGCAUGCCAACAUCGUUGAAGCUUUCAAAGUCUCCCUGAAACUGAACUAUGGGCAGAUGACAAAGCUUUAUUAGCACUUAUUGACCAAUUGUGGUUUAGGAACUAGAUGAAUGUGGUCAGCUUUUUUGUUAACAGUUUUUUACAGCAAAUGAUCUUAAGCGGUGAAACUCAACUCCAGGCAAAUGCUGCCAUGUCAUUUUUCGACAGCUUUAUUAGCACAUAGUGGACAAUUGUGGUUAAGGAACUGGGUGAAUAUUUUCAACCUGUUUGUUAAUGUUCUAUUUACAGAAAAUGGACUUAAGGGAUGAAAUCAUUACUGAAUUUGUGGGGUGAUUUGUCUAUAUUUGGCAAUGAUGGUUACUUGUGGCUGCUUGCCACUGUAAGACCUAGUUUAUUACAUUUUCUUCCUCCUCUUGAAUUAUCUACGCAUUAUGGAGCAAAAAAGGAAUAAGCUGAAUUUAGGGGCUCUGAUAUGUUUAGGUGAACUUUGUCCAUCUAUUUGUAUGAACCUUGAUUUGUGAAUUGGACCGUAGCCACAAUGGGAUCAGUAAGCUUGGGCUUCAGGAAGGGCUUGUUUUCCCAAUACUAGACACAUUAGUUUUGCUAAAAUUUACUUGACUCUUUAUCUGAUUGCUACAUUAUACCUAACAUUGUUGCCUGACAUUUAAUUCUUAUUAUGAGGCCUCAAGAAUGAGCCUUAUACACACUGCUGGUUAUUCAUGAUAUUAGUAAUUUGAUUACCUUUUCCAAUAUACAGGCAUUGGCUAUGAUUUCAAAGUUGACUGAAGAGAAACAUACUGCCAUUCAACAAAACCAGAAAGCUUCGGCAGGAACUGGUACACAUUUCAAAUCACAUACAAAUGUAUGAUACAACUAAAGGCUAGCAUUUUUGCCAUUCAUAGUGCUUAUAAACUGGUAAAUAGGUUGUAAUGAAAAUCUAGUAGAUUAUGCUGGUGAUUGGAACUUUGAUGUUUCAAUUCUAUUUAUUGUCUAUGUACCUUUCGUAUCCAAUUUUUAUUCUGAACUCAUUAAAAUGCCGAAUGGAAAUACUUUCAUUAAAGUAAAAUCAUAUACUUUCAUUAAAGUAUGGAAAUACCCAGUUCCGUCAGUCUUUUCAUCCUGAGGUACAGAAUAUGAUAUAUAUAUUUUUUAUAUUGCAUAUGGUGAAAAAGACUGCUGUAGUUUGAAAUGUACAAUUCUCGUGUAUCUAGUUCUUCAUUUUGAUAUCUCUCUAAUCUGAACACUAAAUCAUAUCUUGUUCGUCUAUCAUUUGAGUCUGUUUCAAUAUAAAAGGUGCUGUAAGAAACCAGGAAUACAUUGCAAAAGACUCCGAAAAUGCCAGCACAGGAACCAUGGUGACACUUCUGUAUAGCUUACAACAAUUUAGAAUUUCAUUUUGAUUCUUUCCCUAUAUUAUGAAACUACAAUGCAAACAAUUUUGAUGAUUCUUAUACCCUUCGGUUGAUCCACUAACACUGAUGUAUUGGUUUAUAUCUCAGACCAUGAUAUCGAUGAAAGAGGCCUGAUAUUUAGUUUUGCCAGGAGCUCCAGUUUGAUUGUAAACAUGGUGCAAAAGAUUCCUGGUUAUUAUCAUGAUAUUGUGGCUCACUCUAAUGGCAAUUGCAGGAUCUGCUGAGGAAAAAACACAACGUGGUGGUGUCGAUGGUGCUCUUAUAGGGUAUAUCAUCAUGAAGUUGUAACACAGAAAGCAAAACCAAACUGGACGAAGUCAUAACACAGAAGGUAAAGAAAGAUGAUUUGAACUUCUUUUUCUAGAUUGCGGCCUCGUCUUUUCUUCUAUAUAUGAAACUUUGAAGGCAACCUGUAAACGACACCAAGUAUCGGUAACUUUUAGUAUAUGCCUUAUGGAACUUCGUAAUAAUUCAUCUUAAUCAUUUAAUUUCAUGUGAAAUACUUGGAAUUUUCUGACAUCAAGAAAACAGUAUCUUUGAAAUAAGAAGAGUCUUUAUGACUUGUUGAAAAAUGUGCUUAAAUUAUCACGUUGCUCUCUAUGGCUAUCCGGACAGCAGUGUUAUUGAAAAUAAUGUUGGACUUUAUUUUCCAGGAAGCACGCGAAGGACAAAUUUCUUUGUGGAAGAACUGUAGUUCUCUUAGUUGUCAGGAUUGACUUUGGACACAACGUUUGACAACUCGGACGGCUGUCAACAUCGAUUUCGAUCGUAAACUGCUUCCUCAUUCACUGGUUUCGCAACGGUAGAAAACUGUCCAUAAGCUCUCCCAAGUUUCACCGUUACCUUAUCCGAUUCCUCCACCGAGCCUAAAGGAGCCAAUGGACGGACUCGAGAUGAGAGCACAAGGCAUAAACUUAUUAGUGCUUCGCUUUAACGGUGACUCGGAAAGGUCGGCCUCUGUUGGCGAGAACAUAAAUAAUAGGAUGAUUUUUAAGAAAAUAUUCAUAUUUUAGAUAUUUUUUAAAACGAUACCCUUUUUUUCUCCUGAUUUAAAAAAAAUAGCUAAACUGUUUCUCAAAAACUUUCUUUAUAUUUUUUUACCUGUUAUAAUAUUUUGACCAUCACAAUAAAGAUGCCGUGAUGCUUACUUAAAAAUACUGUAUAUAAAUCAAAUGAAACUAAAAUACACUGACAAUCAUUUGAGAUAUAAUAUUAUGAUUCAAAUAGGUAUUUAUAAUAAUUUAAGAAUAACAUCACCCAAAUAGAAAUAAAAAUUAAUUUAUUAUAUUAUUUUGAUCAUUACAAUGAAAAUAUUAUAAAAGAUCCAAAUGGACUCUUAACCUUAACCAAACCAAUUGCGGCUUACGUAUCCUAUUCUGAUACCGCCAUGUAAAUCUAAAAAUAGGGGUUAUAUUCAUUUCUCUCAAAAGCAAAUACAUAGUAAUGAUUUCUGUUCCACGAAUCAAAACAAAGCGCGUCGGCAAACGCCGUUAUUAUUUAACAUGUUAAUUAAUUAGGUGGUGACGUCCAGCGUAGAUCUUAAUCGAGACUCAAAUCUCGAGUUGGCGUUGCAGCUCCCAAAGGGUGUCGGCGGAACGCCUGAGACGGGCAGCCUCCUCCUCGCUGAGCUGGAUAUUGGCGACGCUGAGGACGCCGCUGCGACCGAGCUGGGCAGGAAGGCUGAGGAAGACCUCGUGGUCUUCCGGAAUGCCGUAGAAUCCCUUGGCGAGCAGAGAGACGGGAUGGAUGCGGUGCUGAUCGCGAAGAAGGGAUCGGGCGAGGCUGGCCACCGAGUAGCCGAUAGCCCAAGAUGUGUAGCCUUUGAGGCGGAUCACCUCGUACGCGCUCUCCACCACGGCCUUCCUGAUCCUCUCUAGCACUCCUUGCUCCAUUGCAGCUUUGUCUUUCGUGAGCUGGCUCAGUAUGGGCACUCCCCCCACGCUGAUGCUGGACCACAGUGCCACGGAGCUGUCACCGUGCUCCCCUACCAUGUACGCCUGGGAAAUCAUUUGCACGCACGAGAUGAGUACGAGACAUGUGGGGAUAGCAGCAGUGAAUGCAAAUCGAUCGUAUACCUGUACAUCUUGAGCGUUAACUUCCAGAUGCUCAGCCAGAAGGAACUUGAAGCGGGAGGAAUCGAGGUUGGUCCCGGAUCCGAUGACCCGAUUGGGCGGGAAUCCUGAGAGCUUCCAAGCAAUGUAGGUCAACACGUCCACCGGGUUCGAUACCACCAGCAGCAGCGCUCCCGGCGAGUGCUUUGCCACCGGCGGCACGAUAUGCUUGAACAGCGCCAGGUUUCUCUGGAGGAGGCUGAGCCGCGUCUCCCCAGGGAGCUGGCGAGCGCCCGCGGUGAUGAUGCAGAUGUCGGAGCCGGCGGUGACGGAGUAGUCGGUCGAGGCGAGGAUCUUGGUGUGGGGGAGGAAGGCCGCGGCGUGCUGCAGGUCCAGCAUCUCCCCGCGGAGCAUGUCGGGCUUGGCGUCGACGAGCGCGAGCUCGUCGGCGAGGUGUUGCGUCAGGAUGGUCUGCGCGAUGGCCAUGCCCACGUUUCCUGCGCCCACCACGGAGAUCUUGGUGUGGCGCUUCGUCGGGGAGGGUGGUGCUGCUUCCUGGAUCGGCCGGAAUAAAGCAUGGUGGACGUCGUUGGCAAAGCCGAGCUCGGAGAGGGACGACGCCUUCUUCAUCUCAGAUCGAUAGACGCAGAACCACCACGGACAGAGAAAUCGAUUCUUAGGCAAAUAGCAGGAGACUAUAUGGUUGUGAAUGAAAGCAGUCGACCACUCAGGAACUUGUGUUUGUGAUAUCUCUCGCCUCCUUCGUGCUGCUUUUAUAGAGCGAGAGAGAGAGAGAGAGAGAGAGAGUCACCAUUCUUAGUCACCGUUGAAUGUUCAUUAGUGGCUACCGCAGAAGCAGUGUGUCUUGGAUCCCAAGCAACACCAUCUAGAUGUUGAAGAGACUACACCGGUGGAACCUUCCAUUCCACUUCUGCGUCCGAGAAACGCAGAGAACUUUUGUCUGGUAGAAGGUUUAGCACAUGCUCGUAACACGUACGCACAGCCUUCGGUCAGCAUAUGGAGGCAUUCCAUCACGCGCAGCGCCGACGGUUUACGACAAAUUGACCCGUGGCCUUGAACGUUGACCGGGCUAACAUAGUACAUAUAUAUGUACGUAUGCCGAGGCCAUAACAAUAAGCUAAUCGAUGUAUCAACUAAAAACCAUAUUGGCAUGUAACCAACCGGCAACAAACAACGGAGCCAAUGGAAUCCAGUUUUAGCGGUUUCGUUUCACGCUUCGAUUCGUGUGGCAGACAAUUGCGCUCCGUUAGUUGGCGUUACUGACCCGCCGACCAAGUUGGACGAAGGUGGCUCUCACGCCUGUCGGUGGUGCCUCGGCCGACCGCCUCAAGACUUUGAGUUGAGGGCCACGUCACUUCUCUCCCCUUUCAACGCGUCAUCGUCUCUCCUCGGCGUUCGCAGAAAGCAUGAAACAGAGCGUAUCACGAGCGACCACGUGAAAACCUCGCUGGGUUUCAGCGCUGGUAGGCGUCUCAUAGGUACUGCUGCGUGUGUGGGACUUGGGGAAAGUAGCAUAUAGGCACAGCUUGUGUUCGUUUGAGAAGCAUCCGCUUAGAUCUCGGGUCGUCUUCCUCCUUUCUAAUUUCCAAGAUCAUAAACCGUAGGUGCCGCCAUUACAAAACCAGUGAACUCGGAAAACAGGCUAUCUUAAAGAAUAUGGGCCACUGUUCGUCAGAUGGAGAUGGUGGAAAGACACUUUCUAUAAGCCUGGCCAAUCUGCACAUCGAGUUAUAAUAACGCCAGGAGCGUGAUUCAAUUCUCUCUCUAUAAAGUGCGUCUAAGAGGAGCUGCGACAGAUCAUAGAUAAAGAAAACCCACACUGAUAGCCAAUCCCUAGCUGUCUUCUGCUACCAUCCUGUUCAUAGCUUCGGCCUGAGAAGAUGAAGAAGGUGUCAUCUCUCUCGGAGCUCGGCUUCGCUGAUGACAUACACAGGACCCUGUUCCGCCCUAUCCAGCAGGCGGCGCCGCCGUCUCCCACUCAGCGUCGCACCAAGAUAUCCGUGAUCGGUGCCGGGAACGUGGGCAUGGCCAUCGCCCAGACGAUCCUGACGCAGGACCUGACGGACGAGCUGGCGCUGGUGGACGCCAAGCCCGACAAGCUGCAGGGGGAGAUGCUGGACCUGCAGCACGCCGCGGCCUUUCUCCCGCGCACCCGGAUCCUGGCGUCUCCGGACUACGCGGUGACGGCGAACUCGGAUGUCUGCAUCAUCACGGCCGGCGCUCGGCAGAUCCCGGGCGAGACGCGACUAAACCUGCUGCAGCGCAAUCUGGCGCUGUUCAAGGAGAUCGUGCCGCCGCUGGCGAGGUACUCGCCGGGGACGCUGCUGCUGGUGGUGUCGAAUCCGGUGGACGUGUUGACGUAUAUCGCCUGGAAGCUGUCGGGGUUUCCGCCCAACAGGGUGAUCGGGUCGGGGACCAACCUGGACUCCUCGCGUUUCCGGUUCCUGCUCGCCGAUCACCUGGAAGUCAACGCUCAAGAUGUCCAGGUAGGCGAAGAACUCAUCAUCAUUCCAUCCAUCCAUCAGCAUUAGCUACCGCCGCACGAACGGCUGGAUCAUACAUGUCUGAAAGUAAUCGAUGCAAAUGGACAGGCGUACAUGGUGGGGGAGCACGGUGACAGUUCGGUGGCGCUGUGGUCAAGCAUGAGCGUGGGCGGAGUGCCCAUACUGAGCCAACUCACCAACGACAAGGCAGUCAUGGAGCAAGGAGUACUGGAGAAGAUACGGAAGGCGGUGGUGGAGAGCGCGUACGAGGUGAUCCGCCUCAAGGGCUAUACAUCCUGGGCCAUUGGCUACUCGGCGGCCAACCUCGCCCGAUCUCUGCUUCGCGAUCAACACCGCAUCCAUCCCGUCUCUCUGCUCGCCAAGGGAUUCUACGGCAUCCCCGAUGACCGCGAGGUCUUCCUCAGCCUCCCCGCCCAGCUCGGCCGUAGCGGCGUUCUCAGCGUCGCCAAUAUCCAUCUCAGUGACGAGGAGGCUGCCCGCCUUCGACGAUCCGCCAACACUCUGUGGGAGCUUCAACAGAAACUCGACCUGUAACUAUCGAUCGAUGACAUCUUAUCUUCAUCGAUAAUCAAUUCACAUAGAUUGUAUCUCCUUUCACCAUUUGCAAGUCAACCAAUUCCCUGUUAUCUCGGAAGGAUAAGUAAAUUGGCUAAUAUAUCUCAUCGAACCACAUAAUCUUGUUAGAAAAUGCCACAAAUACAGGUCGCUGUAUAUGAUUGAGAACCAGAUGGAUCAUUAAGAAGCUACUAUUUUGGGAGUCAACAGUAGUUCUACAUUGCAAGGAACACCUUCUUUGGCAAGCAUUUUGAUGUACAUUACAGUAACUCGGACAUACUACAACUUGUACAUUCUUUGAAUGCAUUUUACGUCAAAAUACUAGCUAAAGUUGUCUCGUAAUGAUAGAAUGAACUAACACAAACUUAAAUGUGUUAAUCCCGGUGAACGCGUCACUUGGGAUAUUGCUUGAAGCGAAGGAAGUCCAUGGAGGAGAGGAAAGAACAUGUCUCCGUCCCCGUUUUCCUGGCCUGCAAGAAUCGUACCAUGUAAAAAGGUGUCGAGGAGAGGAGACGAGGGAGGGUUCAUUUGAACUCCACUUCGAGGAGAGGUUUUCGUUGUAAACGCAAGGUGAUGCGUGUUGCUUUCCGAUUCCCAGUGGAAAAGAGGAAGGAGGUAGGAGAGGCUUGUGAGCCAUCGCAUGGGGUCUGAUCUAAACUAAGCAUAUCUUUACGUGUUGUCCACCCUUCACAUCAUGGUUUCCUCUAGAAAGUAAGCACUGGCCCUGUGCAUGUCUCCAGUGAUUCCUCAAUUCUCAUGCAAACACAGUACUCGGUCCUUUCUUUUUGGCAUGGACAAGGGAACACCCUCCACAGUUCUUGGCCACCACCGUUGUCGCCCUUCCUUGACCUUUUCUUAUGAGAGAGAGAGAGAGAGAGAGAGAGAGAGCAAUUAGGAGGCUUGGAGUGUGCAAACUGUUUAUUGUGAAGGCUUGCAAUAUAAAUCAUAUAAUACUAACAUGUCAAUCACGAAACACUGAUGUAUCGGUCACUGUUUAUCCCAACAUCAACACUCACUGCACAGAUUGAUAGGCGGAUAAUAAAUGGUAGAUACCAAGCCACUCACGCUAUUAAAUCAUUGACGCUGUUGACGUUUGAGUUCUGUAAUCAUAGUAAACAAAAUAAACAUUCAUGAGGAAGAGGGCAGAGGCAGUAACAAUCGCUGGAUCCGAGGGGUACUCUGGUCAGAUAACAAUGAUCAGAUAAAGCCGUCCCCGGAGCGACCCGUCGCCGUAAGGGGCCCAUCGAAAGAACAGGCACCAGCCUGGCAGCGUUCCCCUGUCUCCUGCGCCGUCGAUGGGACGCUUCGAUCGUCAUCCGACGGCUCUGAUGAACCGUUUCCCUCUGCUUACUCGAACAUAAGUGGCCUACGUUGGUGGGCCCCGGGAAUUGAUCCUCCGUGAUUGGCGAGCGUGCGGUGUUGUCCGGUCCCCAAUUUGGGGCAAACGAUCUUCGCGCGCUGGCCAAACAAAAUAAAUAAAGAAGCCGGUCCCACCAACUAGAUCAAAGAUCAGGACCGUCCAAUCGAUGCAACUAUGUACAAAGAUAAUUUACUCAUUUUCUGCAUUAAUACUUUUUUUAUUAGAUAAUCUAUUCGAAAUAAUAAGGGUUAAGUUUCAAUUUUGGUCAUAUAUCUCUUAAGUCCUUAUAGUUUAUUGAUGUUUAAAUUAAUCUCUAUAUUUUUUAAAAUAUAAUAUAUUAAUUUCUUCAAUCGAGUAUGAGUUAACGGACGUUAGAACAUGGUAUGUUGACUCAUAAUAAAUUAUUAAUAUAAUAACAUAUAUAAUUUAUGAUUAAGAUUUAUUUUUAGCUCAUAUGAUUUUGAUCAUUAACAUCUUAAGCCCUUAUGAUUUACUCGUGUCUAAAAUAAUCUAUAAAUAUUUUAAAACGUAAUAUAUAAGCUCCUCUCAUCGUAUGAGUUAACAGACGUUAGAGUUUGUUUACGUGAUAUGUUAACUUAUAAUAAAUUAUUAAUAUAAUAACAUGUAUAAUUUAAUUUUUUUUUAAAGAAUGAAGACCUCCAUUAAUGGCGAGAGGAGACAUCGUCGUGGAAGUGACUACCAGUAGCAGCACCGAGUUGCUACUACUUAGCAGGACAUUGUAUGCAUGAAAGCCUCUCUCACAUAGACUAUAAGCUCAAGAGAUUUCGAAUGUCACUCACCAACUCUAGGGUGCAGGCCACCAUGUCACCUACCACGAUGUUACUUGCAAUCACAAACAACACCCACUUCGAUCCCAACGAAUGUCAUAAUACCUUGUAAGCUAUCUCCCUCGUGAAGCACGACAUCAUGAAGACGGAGAGUAUACAAAAGGAGUGAUUGAGCUGGUCCAUAUAACCCUCUCACACCCGCUUACUCUCCCUAAUUAGCUUGUUGAUAAAGAGGAAGUAGCGGAGGUCAUAGCGAUGAACAAAGGUGGGGAAACAGAGGUAUGAGAGGUCAAAGGUGGAGAUAAUGGAGAGUUGGACUAUCACAUUGUAGGUGCGAUAGGUGGGGGCAUAGGGGAGGACGAAGUGAGUAGCAAUAGGGAUGAGGACACCCAAGAGGAGGAAGAGGGAUCAGGAGACCACUGUGUGCCUAGUAUCGAAUUGAUCAACGCACAUCCACCUGAGGCAGGACUGGAAGCUCUUAAGCUUAUCGUUAGUUCGAGAGAGACUACGUGUGUACGACACCCUACUAGGUAACAACAACUCGAUACUGUUACUAAUGGUCACUUACACGACGAUGCCUCCUAUUGCUAUUGAUAGAAAUAUUAGUUUUUUUUAACUUAAGUUAUACGUAUCAUUAUAUUAAUAGUUUAUUAUAAGUCAACAUGCCACAUAAACAUAUUCUAACAUUGGUUAAUUCAGACAUGAUGGGAGACACUUAUAUACUAUAUUUUUUAAAAUAUAAAUAUUAUUUUAGACAUGAGUAAAUUAUAAAGACUUAAAAGAUUCAUAACCAAAACUACAUGAGUUAAAAUAGACCUUAACUCUAAAUUAUAUGUAAUUAUAUUAAUAAUUUAUUAUGAACUAGCAUAUAACAUAAUCAAACUAUAACGUGGGUUAACUUAAAUUUGAUGAGAGGAACUUAUAAACUAUAUUUUUUUAAAAUAUAAAGAUUAUUUUACAUACAAGUAAAUUAUAAAAACUUAAAGAGUCUAUAUAAACUUAAGAUCCAUAAUUAAAAUUAUUAUUAGGGUUAAAAUAUAUCUUAACUCAAAUAAUAAUCGAUAAUUAGCUUUCAUCCGUAAGCGUUGAAAAGAAUCUACCAAAAGGGCAAAUAUGUCCUCCUAAACCUUUAAAGAUUAUUAUAUGAUUUGAUAAGGUUUAAAUCUCAGUUUCGAUAUAUUAAAAGAUUGAGAUAAAUUAGACAACAUUAUUUUUUAUUCUUUUAAUUUUUAUGGAUGACGGUAAGAUAGAGGGCGAGAAGAAGCAUUCGACGACCUUUCCCUUGAUUCCGAGGUUGCACGCAUUCUUCUUCGCAAGAGAGAGAGAGAGAGAGAGAGGAAGGUAUAGCGGAUCAUUUUUCCGCGGUUCCACCUCAUUCCCUUGAUUCCGACCUUUGUUCUUUCUUCCGUCGCCACCCCGUCGCAUCUCGUUCCAUGUACCGAUGAGGAGAGGAGAGGAGAAUUGAUCUUGGAGGGGAAGACGAGGUAAGAAAAGAGAGAUCUUGGAUAGCUUCUGCUCAGUCGGGAUUAAAAAUGCUGCACUAGUUUCAGCACCCGUCAUCAGAGGAGAGUAGCAGCAGGUUGCAGACAAAGUUCAGGUGGGUACGAGUGCUUGUUGGUGGAGAUCGUAGCGGGAUUUUUGUUGGAGUCUGUGGAAGUGGCGGCUGUGUUGCUGAUUGUUCGAUGGGAGGAGGGAUGCCCCUUUCUCUCCAAGAGAAGGGGGCUCCUCUGCAGGUCUUAGAAGGCGAAGAAGGCCUCUUUUGGUGUGCUUCUUCUUCUGCUACUGCUGCUGAUAAUAGCAAUAGUAAUACUAGGUGGAAGGAGAGGGCAGACGACCAGGAAAGGUUGGUGUUGGAGCCGCGGUCGGUUCUGGAAAGCCUGCGGAGCCCCAGCCCGCCAAGCUCCGCCUCCAACCUGUACCCCACCCGCGGCGGUGGCGGCGGAGGGCCGGCCUCCUCCGACGGCUCGGACUCCGCCACUCCACCGGCGGCGGAAGAGGCCCGGAGGGAGGAGGAACUCCUGCCCGUCCCCGCUGAUGAGGAGUGCUCCCUCGGUGGCGUCUGGGAGGCCUUGCUUUUGGAACAGGCCGCCUCUAUCGGCCAAGACCAGACCUUUCUCCGGUGGAUCACCAGCGAAGCCGACAACACCUCUUCUGUUGGCCAUGGUGGCACCCGAUCGCAUUUCGAUCCAGCUCUCGUGUUAGAAGGUGCUUCGGUGUCGGCGGAAGUCAUUAAUCCUCUUCCGCCGACUUCCUCUGUUCUCUCUGCCAGUGGUGCCACCUUUGGGUGUGGAAGUGUGAAUCCCAAUUCCUGCCUCCCUCCUCCCGCAGCGACUACCCUUCCCGUGCUUCUAUCUCCCACACAGCCCAGAGUCCUUUUCCAAGAAUCCACGGAGGGGAAGCCAUUCCUCUGCCCGAGCCUGCUCUUAGCUCAGCAACAGCAGGCCCGAUUCCCGCAUCAAUCUUCCUUCUUCCUCCCUUUGCAUCAGUUCACCGGCCACCAUGGGGGUCAGCCACCGCGGCAUCUUGGCUCGUCUCCCCGUAGACGCCCUGCCGUCCACCCCUUCCCCAUCUCCCGUGCCCCUGAACUCCGCCGCCCCAACCCGCCCCAGCAGCCGGGAUUCUCUCAGCAGUUCAACGCAUCUGCAUGCCAGCUUCAACCAGGACCGGCAAAACCCAAUUUAGCAAGCGGAGAUGAGGCACCCGCUGCUGCGGCAGCCGUGGCACAGGAGCAGAAGGCACUGAGCGACCAGCUCUUCAAGGCGGCCGAGUUGAUCGAGGUCGGGAACACCGUCAGUGCCCGAGGGAUAUUGGCGCGGCUCAAUCACCAGCUCCCCUUUCCCGUAGGGAAGCCACUCCUGCGGUCCGCCUUCUACUUCAAGGAGGCUCUCCACCUCCUCGCCGGGCAUUCCCCCCACCCACCUCCACCUCUUCCGAACCGAAUCUUGACGCCGUUGGACGUUGUGCUCAAGCUUGGAACCUACAAGACUUUCUCCGACGUCUCCCCCAUCGUCCAAUUCGCCAUCUUCACCUCCAUCCAACCCCUCUUGGAGGCGCUUGAUGGCGCGAGAUGCAUCCACAUCAUCGACUUUGACAUUGGGGUCGGCAUGCAGUGGUCAGUCUUCAUGCAGGAGCUUGCCCAGCAGUGGUCCUCAACAAUGGCUGCCACUCCAUGCCUGAAAAUAUCGGCUUUUACCUCGCCCUGCACCCACCACCCCUUGGAGCUCCAUCUGAUCCACCAGAACCUGUGCCGUUUUGCCGGCAGCCUCAACAUCCCCUUCGAAUUCAAUUUCCUUAGUCUCGACCCCUUCGACCCAUCAGUUCUCCUCGGAAGGUGUUCUGCUGUUGAUGAGGCCAUUGCCAUAAACCUCCCUGUAGGUUGCGCAAUUCGCCCACCCUUCCCAACUCUCAUAGAUUUCGUGAAGCAGCUCUCCCCGAAGAUCUUGGUCUCGGUUGAUCAUGGAUGUGAUCGCAGUGACCUGCCCUUUGCUCAUCACAUCCUCCAUGCAUUCCAGUCAUGCACAGUGCUCCUCGACUCAAUUGAUGCAGCAGGUGCCAAUCAGGAUGCAGCUAACAAGUUCGAACAGUUCCUAGUGCGACCAAGGGUCGAAAGUGCUGUUCUAGGUCACCAUUGUUUGUCGGAGAAAGUGCUGCCUUGGAGAACUCUAUUUGUGUCUGCUGGAUUUGUGCCUAUGCAAUUCAGCAACUUCACAGAGAUGCAAGCAGAGUGUCUUCUGAAGAGGGUGCUGGUUAGGGGUUUCCAUGUGGAGAAGCGCCAAUCUUCACUUUCCCUCUGUUGGCAGCAUGGGGAACUUAUAUCAGUAUCGGCAUGGAAUUGCUGAAGGAGCUCUUUUUCUCACAGGCAUGUCAUCUUGGAAUUUUCUUAUGCAUGUAACUUGAACUCUAUUUAGCUUUGAUUCAAAAACUAUGUUAGUUCUGGUCAGCAACUUACUCUAUCGUCAAAUAUGACAUUAUUUGCCAGUGCCUUGCAUUGUAUCCAUUCGACGAAGGCAUUUAACAGACUGGAAUGUCUUUUACAGUUUAACAGUUCUACUUAAUCUUAUGAUUGUGGACAUGGAUAGUAAUGUUACAGUAUCUUGGUGGUACAAUAGAUCGAAUGUUCUUUCCAUGUGUUAUCAUGAUGCAAAACUUUGAUCAACUUGCAUAGUGUAGAUUCCUCAGAAUUACCAUGCAUCGAAGUGCAUGUACAUUCUAACUCAUCUCACAUAGAUAGGUUAUGGAGUGAAGCCGAUGUCAAGUCAUUUAUUUGUCUGAACUACAAAUCAGUUGAUCACACAUAAUUUUGGGAUAUAUAGCACCUCAGCUACUGAACAUGUUUCUGCAACUAUUAUAGUUGGUGCUUCAGUAUAUAGCACAAGAACAAACUUGUAUUUGCCAAACAUAGUGCUCGUAGGUUUUGCAAGAAGUGUCAUGCUUAUUUUGCUAGUUUCUUCAGAGUAACAUCAGACUACAAAUACCUAGCCAUGGUAAGUUUUCUGUCCAGCUUAAAGAAGGAACACGUCAUGUCCCUAUGUGCCUGUGAUGGUCAAUUAUGUGUGUGAUACUUCGACUGCAACCACACUUUGAGAAACCAGAGUUGGAAAUGCACACAGUUAACACCAGUGUCUAAAUCAAUGUAGCAGAUGAAUUCCUUUACUCUACAAACGCCUGUUAGUUACUUUAAUCUCUCAUUCCUUUGCAGAGCAUUUCUGAAUGAAUAUUCACAUGAUGUGAUGUUGUCUGUGGUCUCUUCCGUCUGCAUAUCUAGUUUCACAAGUAUUUUGAGAAUGUAUUAUCAAAAUCAAUGCUACAGAAAAAAAUUUAAUGUGUAGGUUGGCACUGUCAAUUUCUGGGCCAAAUUCUUUUCUUCAUGUGGUUGUUAAGUGUCACAAAUUAUUCUUAAAGUUGGAUGUGAUGUUUAACUGGUUUUAGAUACAAAAACUUACAAUAAGGUUUCUCAGUAUACAGUUUUAAUCUUUAUCUAAGAAAUUUUCUUGGCUAUAUAUAAAUUGCAUCUGCAUCACAUUAAUAUUUGUUAUGUCCAUCUAUGACUUGUAUGUAAAGGGGUGCUUUUCUUGUCCUACUGGAGUGAAAACAUUUUGACUACAUCUUAUAAUUCAUUCGCUCCUGAUGGAUGUUUUCUUCCACCAAUUACACUCAGGUUUUCUUGUUAGUUUGUCAAUGGAAGUACCUUCAUCUUACCAAGUGAGAUGAAAAUUCUAUUAAGAAGUAAGCAAUUUUUUAUCUGCCAUGUGAUCUGAGUAACCAAAUUUUGUUGUGAUUUCAGUAAUGCUUUCUAUCAUUAUCAACAUGCUAAAAAAAUGGACUUUGUUUUAUUAUGUGUUCUUUCUAAACUUGCAUGCAGCUGCAUAAUUGUUGUAUGGUUGUAUGGAAUGUUAGGAUGAAGAGAUGAAAUCCUAAAUCUAUGUUUGCCUGUUAAUAGUGGAUCAUCAGCUGAUUUGAUCUCUUCAUCCAUUUACAAAGGACUCAUCAAAAAGAACUUUGUGGAUACAGCUCCAAAUGGUAUUGGCACAAUUAAAAAUUGCAGUAAAUUUCUUUUCAAUAUAAAACUUGUGAACAAUCUGUGCUUUAUGGAGAACCUCUACAAUGCGUGGUAGCCUUUUGCUUUACAGGCGGAAUUUUCUGGUCCUCGUGGCUGUGGUGUCGAGCAUAAAGAAUCAUUCUUCUUGUGCUUGUGUUGUGCUUAAUCUUUAAAGAGUUGCCAUGCAAUUACAUGUGUAGUAUUUGAACCGAGCUGCUGUUGUUUGUAAAGAAAUCCUCAUCCUAUUGAAAUUAUCAUUUUAUUUUCCUUUGGAUGUGUGUGUGUGUUUUUUUUUCAUAUCCAAAGUGAAUUAAGAUGGAUAAUUUCUCUAGAAAAUAUUCAUAUAUUUUUUAGAAAUUUUCAAUUGGUAUUACUCUUUUAUUUUUUUUUUCAAAUAGUAUCUUUAAUUAAAAAUCAAAUUAUCCCUAAAAUUUUUUUCAUUUGUUAUAGUUUUUUGAUCUGUUACAUUAUUUUGAACUAUUAUAGUGUUUUUGGUCAUCACAAUAAAAACGUGAUAAAGCNNNNNNNNNNNNNNNNNNNNNNNNNNNNNNNNNNNNNNNNNNNNNNNNNNNNNNNNNNNNNNNNNNNNNNNNNNNNNNNNNNNNNNNNNNNNNNNNNNNNNNNNNNNNNNNNNNNNNNNNNNNNNNNNNNNNNNNNNNNNNNNNNNNNNNNNNNNNNNNNNNNNNNNNNNNNNNNNNNNNNNNNNNNNNNNNNNNNNNNNNNNNNNNNNNNNNNNNNNNNNNNNNNNNNNNNNNNNNNNNNNNNNNNNNNNNNNNNNNNNNNNNNNNNNNNNNNNNNNNNNNNNNNNNNNNNNNNNNNNNNNNNNNNNNNNNNNNNNNNNNNNNNNNNNNNNNNNNNNNNNNNNNNNNNNNNNNNNNNNNNNNNNNNNNNNNNNNNNNNNNNNNNNNNNNNNNNNNNNNNNNNNNNNNNNNNNNNNNNNNNNNNNNNNNNNNNNNNNNNNNNNNNNNNNNNNNNNNNNNNNNNNNNNNNNNNNNNNNNNNNNNNNNNNNNNNNNNNNNNNNNNNNNNNNNNNNNNNNNNNNNNNNNNNNNNNNNNNNNNNNNNNNNNNNNNNNNNNNNNNNNNNNNNNNNNNNNNNNNNNNNNNNNNNNNNNNNNNNNNNNNNNNNNNNNNNNNNNNNNNNNNNNNNNNNNNNNNNNNNNNNNNNNNNNNNNNNNNNNNNNNNNNNNNNNNNNNNNNNNNNNNNNNNNNNNNNNNNNNNNNNNNNNNNNNNNNNNNNNNNNNNNNNNNNNNNNNNNNNNNNNNNNNNNNNNNNNNNNNNNNNNNNNNNNNNNNNNNNNNNNNNNNNNNNNNNNNNNNNNNNNNNNNNNNNNNNNNNNNNNNNNNNNNNNNNNNNNNNNNNNNNNNNNNNNNNNNNNNNNNNNNNNNNNNNNNNNNNNNNNNNNNNNNNNNNNNNNNNNNNNNNNNNNNNNNNNNNNNNNNNNNNNNNNNNNNNNNNNNNNNNNNNNNNNNNNNNNNNNNNNNNNNNNNNNNNNNNNNNNNNNNNNNNNNNNNNNNNNNNNNNNNNNNNNNNNNNNNNNNNNNNNNNNNNNUAGUUCCGUGAAAAGAUAGUUUUAUCGUUAUCUCCGUUGACUUUGUUACUAUCAUCCUAAACCCCUACCCAUGUCUCCUUGCACCACUCUUGCCCCAUGAGUCAUACCACCUCCUUCCUUGCUUGUGGAUGAUGAUGAAGGCGUGCCCCUCUUCCUCCCCCCAAACCACUAACAAUGAGAUUACAUGGGCCACCCUUCUCUCCUUUAUUACAUGUGGUUGAUGGCACGAGGGAGGCCUAUCGGGCGAACCACCGCACCCCUCUCCCUAAUGAUCAAUGUUGAGGGUAUGCGAGCGACCUCCUCUCCUUCCUCGGUUGCGAUCGAUGCUGAGGGAGGCUUGCAAGCCACAAUGAAGGCGCAUGAGCUACCUCCUCCCUUUCCUCAUUCACAUUCGACAGUGAGAGAGGCUUGCAAGCGACAAUAAUGACACAUGGAAUGCCCCUCCUCUUCCUUGCCCACAAUUGAUGACAAGGGGCUGUAAGCCAUAACGAAGGCACACAAACUGAUGCCAAGGACAUGUGAGCUGCCCCCUCUUCUUGUUUGCUCGUGAUCGACGACACGAGUGUUGAUCGUCUUUGCACAUCAUCACGCUUAUGUUACGAGCAAUGGAUGACUAUUCAGAAUAAAAGGGAGCGACCGGUGAUUCGUCGAGGACAGUGGCCAACAUGAUAGAAUGAAAAAAAAAUAUUUCUAUAAGAUUUUUUUUUAAUUGUGCAAAUUUUAAAAGUUUUUUUUUUUAAGGAAUUCGUCCCAUUAUCGUAACAAAAACAACACGUAAAGGACAGCUGGCAGCGGACCCGACGACUGGAUUUUGGCACCUUCUUAUUCUACGCUUUUCAUUUCCUUUCCUAACCGGGAAAUGUCCCGGUUGGACGAUUGGUGUGGGGCCCACCGGGACCCGCGCUUCGCUUGGAUUGAAACAAAAGGGUAGACAAGGCGGUCGCUUCUCUCUCCUCCUCGUCGCUUCUCUCCAAUCAUAUGCCAAGCAAAGCCUUCCCUCUCACCUUUCUCAUCCUCCAAGAAACCCAAGUGGGGGUUCCCAGCUCGCUCGUCCGAGAAUUUUAGGGUUCUCGAUCUUACCCUUGAGAAGAAGAUAACCAAUAGGGAGAGAGAUGCGUCCCAGCUUUUGCCGGAGCUGCCUGGCGUUCGCCCUCAAGUUCUUGAACUUCCUACAGACCUUCGUCGGCGUCUCCGUGUUGAUCUACUCCAUAUGGGUACUCAAUUGUUGGCAUCGUCACGGGCAUCUUGUCCUCGAUCUCCGAGACGUUUCCGCCCCCUGGUAAACUGAAUGCCCUCUUCUCUGGAACUCCCACUGAGCGUCUUCUAUUGAUUGUUUGUUUUUGUUGGCAAACACAAAAGGUUCGUGUGUGCGUCGAUGGGUGUCGGGAUCUCCCUGUGUCUGAUUUCGUUUACCGGAUAUGUCGCUGCUGAGGCAGUCAACGGCUGUUGCCUCUGUUUCGUAUCCUGCAAUUGGUGGGUAUUCAUGUUUAGUUCUCCUCAAUUUCCUUCUGCAGUGGCAUUUUCAGUCGGACAUAACUUGAAUUCAGUAAGCCACAGUUUUUGGUUUGGUUACUUGAUUGCCGAACAUUUUUAUAUAUGGAGCUCCUUGUUAAGGUAAAUUGCAAAGUAAUGAUUUGUGAAGCCCUUUUUUAUAUGCCGUGAAAGUUGUUUCUUAGUGGACCUUUUUUUAUUCUAUUCUCAUUUCUCGGAAAAUAAAUGAACUAUCAGCUGGUGAUACGCUAAAUAAUUGAAACCGUUGCAGAAUUUUAUUGGAUACCCAAGGAGACCAACAUUAUUAGUGAACCACUGAGAAAGGUGACAGUGUAGACUUGUAAUUUUCACCUUUGCUUCUUGAUCUCAUUUGUAUUGGAAAACGUAUAAACUUGUCAGUUUAGUUGUGUGUCUUAGUCGUAUUGUAUCUGUGUCCAUGCUUCAUAAGUUUCAUCAUGACUGCUUUUAAUUCCUGGUUUAAUAUUUCCUCAACUUCAUGCAGUUUAUUUUCUCCUUCAAUAUUUACACUGAACUUUGCUCAUUCUAUAUUGAUGUCUUUUUGGGGAAAAUACAGCAUGGAUUUGAAUACAAUCUACCUUCAAAUUCAACAAAAUAAAAUCCUGCCUGUGCAAAUGCCUUUGAAACAAUUUAGUCCAGCAGACUUAGUUGCAUUGAGCAGCUAAUGCAUUUUGCCAUACUCCAUCCUUGUGUAGUUACUUGACUUCCUUCACUUGCUGCUGUUAGUUAGCUUUUGUUCUGACUUCUGAAAUCUACCAAACACCUGAUUUUAUAAUUCCACUGCUGUUAGUUGCAUUGAGAUACUGUUUGAAGUAAAUCUUGCUUGUUCAUUUCAUAACUUUGAUUGUAUGAACUAAUAAGAAGUAACUAGAAAAACUAUAUACAAAGGAUUGGCUUUCAUUUCACGAUGCACCUCGGUCGUGGCCAUUCUUGGAGACAAGUGUAACUGAAGUCACAGUUCUGGCACUGGCUGUCACUUUUUCUCUUUGCAUUAUAAGUUUCAUGAUUGAGCACAAUAGUAUAUGUACAUUUAUGUGAAUGAUUUUGCAUGACUUCCUUAACAUAGAUGAACAACAGUAUGCGGUUUUAUCCACCAUGCUCAUUGUACUAGAAGCAGCUUUGAUGGGCGAUAUUUUGCUAAACAAGCACUGGGAAGAGGUAACUUUCUAGUUUUUGUAUCUAGUCAUAGUCAUAUUUUAAUAUAGUAAGAAUAUUCCAUUAUAAGACUGUCCUAUGUGUCAUGGUUCACAGGAUCUUCCAUAUGACUCCACUGGAGAACUAAAAAAUCUUCGUGAAUUUGUAGAAGAUAACAUGGAUAUUUUCAAAUGGGUUGCUGUGAGUGUGAUUGCUAUCCAGGCAAGUUUCUUAUUAGUAUAUGUUUCGAAUUGUUAGAUCCCAUUUUGAAUGAUGGGCAGUUUGUACGUGAUUUUUAAGUCACGAAUUAUCAUACUUAAUAACUGGGCCAAUUUAUUAUUUUGCGUGAUUGAUUGUUGAUGUUACAUUGACACUUAUUAUGUUUUAGGUUAAGUUAGUUGUCUAGCAGUCAUUUCAAACUUGAACAAGGACUGAUAUCUGUUGAAAAACAUAUUAUUUAUAGUCUGCCCUUUUAUUUUUAGGUUUACAUAAAAAUAAUACUUGCAACUUCAAGAUGCUUCUAUUAUCCACUAUAUUUGUGGCUUUUGAGUUUAACCUUGACCUUGCGUGAGGAAAGGUUUGUGUGUCAGUAUAUUUCUUAUGAAACCUUGACAUCAUUUUACUAAGAUAUCGACUUCAAUUUUUUUAGAAGCAUAUUUAUGUUCCAUCAGAUCAUUUUUUUCACAAUUGAUACAUAUUCUUCUUUGUUUUAUGUAUAGGCACUUUGUCUUUUGUUGACACUUGUUUUGCGAGCCUUGGUUCAACCCAGAAACGAUGCAUAUGACAGUGAUGAAGAUUUUGUUGUAAUAAGGCGACCACUUCUUCACCCACAGGGUGGUGGCCCCUCUUAUGGUACAACCUCCAUUGACAACAAAGGAAUUCACUCUGACACUUGGAGUUCUAGAAUGAGACAUAAGGUACUUUGUCAAUUUUUGUUUUGAUGUAUUAGUCCUCACCAGAUUGAUGUCGACCAUGUCAGGAUUUAAUGUAGAUGUUUAGUAAUCCAUAACAAUGUUUGGUUCUAGUGAACUGGCUAUGCAGUGGUAGCUUCAAUAGAGUGUAUGAGAGGUAAACAAAUUAUGUAGCCAGUCUAAGACAGACAAAAUUUAAUACAUAUCUUCUAUAUGAAUAAGAUAGGCAUGGGUUUCCUAUAUUAUAUUAUAUGUUAAUAAGAAGAUAGAUGAUCACACUAAUAUCAUGUGGUAUAUUAUAGGUAAUGCAUUUAAAUGGAUAACUAUUAAGAGUCCUGAGAAUCUCUAUGGUGAUUGAUCAUAGAUAAAUUUAGUUGUCAACUAUUGCUUGGCUUUCUACAAUUGUAUAAACCAUAUCAAGUUCAACGCACUGUAAGGCCUUGAAUCACCUGAUAUAUGAUGCAUGGACACAGAUACAAAGAUGAUUUGGAAAGCAAUAUUUUCCUUCUGAUUCAGCAAGGAAAGUAGAGGGGACAUGUAGGACAAUAAUACCUUGGUAAUGGGUAAAGAAGCAUGAAGCAGUAAAAUCAAGGUGUUCCACCUUGCAUAUAAAUUUUGUCAAGAUGCUUGUUUGCCCUUGACAAAAGGAGAGAAAAAUCCACUUCUAUCUUAUGGUCAUAGGUUAAACUUAAUGGUUCUUUCCAAGUCCACUGAUCAUUGAAGUAUAGAGGUUCAUUGCAUACUAGCGUCUGGCAUGAUGGUAUAUACCUAUUCAGAUCUGCAGCUUCAAAUGGUCAGUAGCAUACCUAAUGGCUAACUUCCUAUUGUUCCUGAAUAUCUAAUAGUUGUGCAGGAGGGCCAAUGACCUUAAAUAUUUUGUUAUCAUACUGUCUCUUUUUUCUUUUCCUAAUGUAGGUUGUACUGGAGGCAUACGCAGAAAUGAUUCAUUAAGGGGGUCAAAAGAAAUUUAUAAGCAGCAGCUAUAUUGAUUAGAUGACAUAAAAUGGACAAGUGAUCUAUAGUCAUGGAGAACCCUCUAGAACUUUUGGAUUCCAACAUAUAUGAAAUAGUGAAACUGAUGGUGCAGCCAAUAACUCUGUAAAACAUUUAACACUAGAGAAUUGAGAGAUCUAUCUUCUAGUAGAUUUAUGAAUGAUGUUCUUUUUGUGAUUGUACAUGUUUUGUUUCAAGUUUACAUGAGAAAUGGAUGGAAGAAACAAGAGGAUUAAAGUUUUCUGAAAAUUUUGUGAAAGUUAAGUGAAUAUACCUUUUAAGAUGAUCAUCCUCAGUGUAAUGAGAGGUUGGACUGUAGCAAUAUAAUAUACAUUAGGAGUAAUGGAAAUCGUAUAGUAGUGCAUCGAUUGUUGGAGAUAAAAUGUAGUGUAUAGUCGGAGGCAUACAUGCGGGGCUGUAAACUUAUGUGGAUUGCAAAAAGCGAGUGCAUUAUGCAGCAGAAAUUUGAAAACACAUAUUGUAAUGAAAAAGAGAGUUCUUGAAGCAACAGAUAUUUGGAAAUGCCUAUUGCAAAACAACAUCCUUGCUGUUAUUGCUAUUGAUUGAUCAACUAACAAAUAUAUUUCAAUCAAACAGUGUACAAGAUCUUUGUUUCCUAUCAAAUAUAACUGGUCGAAGUUGAUAUCCUCAUCUGAAUUAUGUUAUUAAGGAAGGAAUUUUAUGGGAACAAACAAGAAUGCUUUCUUUAUCAAGUCCUUGUACUAGAGGAUGAGCCUUAGCACCAUGGUAAGGUUGUUUUUUUUUUCUUUUUUCUUUUUUGGCAACCUAGUGACCAAGGUCAGCAUACCUCAAACCUGGUCACACUGCAUUGGUGGGAGUUUUGCGCACUUAACCACAAUUUUUUGUCAAGCCCUCGUACUAGUUUCCAUUGACAUAUUGUCCGAUACGUGCUUCUAAACAUCAAACAUGUCAGUGACAUGAAAUAGUAAAAGAAAAUAUUACAAAGGAGAGGUAGAAAUCAAUUAAGUGUGACUCAGAGAUGGUCAUGAGACAUGCAUUGAAUUAGUUGAUUAUGAUGCUUCCAAUUAGUCUAACAUGUGAUAUGAGCAGGGAUGUGCAUAGUUUGAAGUCAGUUUACAUGGUUUGGGGCCUGGGUCAGCCUACAGGAAAGAAUAUCAAAUCCAAGUUUCUUGUUUUCACCAUCGGCUGCUGUUUUCCUGUAUUAACUUGGACAUGACAGUUAUUAGGUUCUCAUAUACUAUGUUCAGAUUAUUAUAAUCUAGACUUUCACCCAGCUUAGUUGAUAAAGAUCUUGAUUAGAUUGAAUCUCACCUUCACCACCUAUCCUUACUAUUAUGAAAACAUCUGCUGGUUGUACAAGAAACAUAAUGUGAACCUAAACAUCUUUGACUACAUGAGGACAUACAGGUGUCAUCUCAAUUUAUUCGUGAAUUAUUUGUAGUGGAGUGUAAUACAUAGGAUAUAUCAGCUCGUGUAGAAAAACUCCCAUACAUGCAUCAGGUAAGUAUCUACUUUCGAGUCAACUGCGAAUAUUUGUGUUUGAAGUAGUUUCUCGGUGAUGGUUGUAUUCUAAUGCAUAUAGAUUGUGUACAUUAUAUGUUCUUGUACAUGAUACCAUUCCAACAAAAAGAAAAAUGUGUAUUUUUUAGUUCCCCUCUUUAUGUGUCACCGAGUGGGUAUUUGUGUGUAUGUUUGGUAUCUUUGUAUAUCUUGAAGAUAUACUGUAUCCGCAUAUGCAAUAAUUGAAUCCUCUGUGCUUCAUACCUUUUUCUCUUACAACUUAAUAUUUUCUUGAUUGUAGUAUGGGUUGAACCAAAAUGAACUGCCACCCAAUGCUGUGGACCUGAAGCCCCCAGUGCCAUAAGAACAUCAACAUCGGAAGAUAGUGGUUCAUCCUGUAAGCAGUUUGAUUUGAAACUCGGCAUGUGUGUGCAACCAACCAUCUGUUAGUAGGUAAAAUUGUGGAGUCCCUUGUAACAUAUCCAUUCUCUAUGUUGCCCUGGGUAUCAUGCUGUUAAUAUCCUUGUCGAUGUCUCUCACAGUGCUUUGAGAGUGCUUUGAUAUCUUGUUGCAUAACUUUUUUUCUGAACAACAAUCAGGCUUCUGGGGACCUUUGCACUUUUAUGGGUGUCUCUGCCUGUUGUUGCUUCUCUGGCAACCGUUAAAGGUUAGGUGUCAAGGAUUUAACUUCUGCAGCAGCAGCAGCAGCAUUAUAUUCUUGGCUGACUCUUGUUGUGCUCAAUGGAACUGUAACCCAUUGAGAUUAUAUAGCUUAACAACUGCCUCUUUUUGCCUGCUAGCAAAUUUGCUUCUGGAGGGGGAUCAAGAGAUAUAUCUCUCUUUCAGCGGAAAGGUUGGGGUCUCUGUGCAUUGUUCUACAAUUAAGGGAGUUUAUCUCCAUUGUUUGAUCUCAUCUUUUAACACAUGAUUAUGCAAAUACUCCCAAAUAUGAAAUUGGUUUAUUUUUUCCCCUUCUUCUUCUUAUAUACAUAGAGCAAUAUAUUUUUUCCCCCUUAGUCUGGAACUGUGGCACACAAUGUUAAUUGUUUCUCAUUUCCCAUAGCAAUGCUGUGCAAUGUAGCCUUCAAGUCCUAAUAGAAAAAAAAGCUUGUAAAUGUAUGCUCUGCUUUUGGUCAUAAAACUUUCUGUCAUCUGAACCCAAAUAAAGAAACAAUAGGAAACACUAUAGAGCAUGCAUUUUUCAGGAGACUGAUUGAUUGUUUUGCAUGUCAGUUAUUAUUGGUAAUCUUUCAGGUGACAAAGUUUGGGAAGGAUCAGCAACAUCUCUGGAGGAGUAAAACGUAAAGGAAUUUUGAUGUAAGUAUCAUGAACUGAAUCUUAUAACCAAACAUUAUAAAUUCAGAAAGAUUACAAAAUUAGGAAGCCUUGAAAAGCACCAUCCUGUAAUAAUGAAGAUUUUAAUAUUCAUAGGACAACAUUAGAGGUUUAAUUUUACAUUACAUGUUACUGUUACGGAUUUUGGUGGAGUCUUACCACUCGCUCUUUCCAGGUUUUCUGAUAUAAAUCUUACCAUUCGUGUCAUAUCCUUAAUUCACUGAUCUCUGCCGCCUGCCAAUGAGCAAAAGCCUCUCGGCAGGUUCAUUCUACUGACACCUUUUUGCCUGUAGCUGAGUAUUCUCAGGCUCUGCCUCAGAAUAUCGAUUUCUCUAUCCUUUUUGGACGCCUCUUUUGCCAUUACUGCUAUGUGCGAUCUGAGUGUUUCCAUUGCUUCCUCCCUGUCUCUUAAAUCCUUCUGUAGCUGUUCCAUCAUGCUUUCUUCAGUUCCCCAUCCAAAUCUCUCACCUGCAAAGGAACCAAAACUUAAUGAAUGUUAUGCUCUAUAACCCAUUGUUUUUUGAACUGACAUCUUUACAUAAUAUAGGUAUGAGAAAGAACGCCGCUGCCCUUUCACUUAAUGAAUGUUAUCCUUCAACUUCUAUGUUCGAAGCAGAGAGAAAGGUAUGGACAAGGCAAAAAGGGGAGCAUGGUGAAAGUGUCACAUGGCAUCUUAAACUACUGUUGUGUGGUCCAAAGAAGUGCAGAUAAGACAACAGCAAUAAUUAAUUAGUUGACACGUUCAUUCAUGUUGAACGCAGAGGAGCGUAUCGAGUUCGUGAGACGAACAAUGGAACUACAAUAUAUUAUCUGCUUUAUUUGUCAUAGGUAUAAGGUAGAAAGAACUACGAGUUCCUGGAAUUAGUUGUCGGAUAUGGUAACAAGAUACAUGUUUUUUGUUUCUCUCAAUUCACUAUAGCUCCUGUUGCUGUUCCCAGAUAGUAGUCAGUGAUACAAUCGAGUCAAUGGUAACAAAGAAGUUAAUGAGUAGUUAUUGUGAAGAACAGGGGGAGGUUGGUCGUACGUUCAUGUACAUGGACGUUGGACUCUCAUAAUUGGGUCAUACAUGGCUUAGCAGAGGAAGACUCAGCAAACAUAUCACUGAUUGCAAAAGAAAAUAGGAAAAAGAAGUUUUGGAAAUGAUUAUUGUUUUGCAAGUUUUGAUCCACAAGGCUGCAUGGGAACUAUUGAUGUUUGUUUUGUCUUCUUUCAGCUCUGACGAAGGCCCUAAAUAAAUGGAUACAUCAGAAGUACUGACAUCAACUUGGUGGUGCUCCUCCAACCACUCCAAGCACAUUGAUCCACUGUCGAAACGCAUGAACGAAGGUAUGCAAAAGAGUUCGCUCGGUUUAUGCGUGUGUUCUCUCUCUAAUCUCUCUUCUCUGUGUGUGUGUGUGUGUGUGUAGUGUGUUCUAUGACAAGGUUACCAUGAAAAGUAUAGAUAGUUAUCUGAGAGGACUUAAUCUUGCAGACAAAUGGCGUAGGGGAAUGAAUUGGCGGAGACACUCACCUUCACGAGUCCUUUGGAUGAGGUCAUCGAGCUCGGUCUUUAUGGUGAGAUAGAGCUGCUUCCACUUGGCGACCGCUUCCUCCCGUCGCGCUUGCUCCUCCUCCAUGCACUCCACGAGGAAAUGCCGCUCCUUGUCAUCCUCGCAGAUCUCCAAGCAUGGUCUUCUCCUGUCCUCUUUCGACAUCUUGCUCAGCAUCUUCUUCUCCUCCUCCUCCUCCUCCUCCUCCUGCUUCUUCCUGAUCUCUCGCUUCCACUCCUCCUCCUUGGAGGCGAAGUCCGCCAAGCGCUGCUCGUAAGCCCAAGCGUCACGCUCCCUUGCGCGCUUCAUCUCUCUGAUCUCUUCUUCUAGCACAACAACUCGACCUCUCAGUUCCUCGUUCGACUCAUGGCUGUUAUUACAGCACCGGCUGAUGACGCCACCCAUUGCUUGCAGAGGCUUGUGUUUUGCCUAUAUCACACGCUCUCUCUCUCUCUCUCUCCCGCUUAGGGGGCUUUCUCUCAUUGGAUUCCUAUAUGCGCUGUUCUUAAUUUGUGCUGGAGGGGUGGUUACAUGGAGAUGGUGGGCAUGGAGGCGAUAGUGAUGGGCUGAGAGACAUAAAUACGAUGGAGAGAGAAUCUCGUGGAGGGGAGAGAGAGAGAGAGAGAGAGAGCCUGCACGCUGUACUGGUCUUUGUGCAUGCCUUAACAAUACCAUGAUGGUGAUAAAUGUAGGUGACAAGCGCGUGAAGCUUCGCGCGCUUCAUGAGAUACAGAAUACUUCACUCACUGAAAGAAUCGUAGAUAGAUAGAUAGAGAGAGAGAGAGAGAGAGAGAGAGAGCAGAAUCUAUCUGUUUAUCUAUAUUCCUUUAUUUUUUUUUUCUUUUCAUCAUUCUUCCUUUCUUUUUUCAAGAGAAAAAAACUAUAUUAACAAUCCAAGCUCUGUUCAUCAGAAAUAAAAAGAGACAAUACAUUAGGAGGAAAACUAGAUCUCCAGAUCUGAUCAGAAUUACAAAACUUAACCUCAUUAGCUAACCAAUAAGCACAACGAUUAACCUUACGAAAAAUAUGACGGAUCUUAUAGUCCUAAAACAUCGGUAUAUCAAUCAAGAUAAUUCUUUGGAAAUGUUAAAGAAUAAUUUAAUUUGAUUUGAAAUUAACUUCAGCUUUUGAUGCUUUUCCGGCUACAUUAGGAUUUAAUUUAAUAAGAGAUUAUAUAUAUAUAUAUAUAUAUAUAUAUAUAUAUAUAUAUAUAUAUAUAUAUAUAUAUAUAUCUCUUUUUCUUGGAUUUGCUUAACAUGUGAUUUUCAUCUAUAAAAGAAGAUGCAUGGUUCUAAUAAAAAUACAAAAGAAGGAUUUUCAUAUAUAUAUAUAUAUAUAUAUAUAUAUAUAUAUUCUAUUUUCUUUUUUGAACAACUAAGAUGAGCGUUAAAAAUGGAAAGAGCUAUAAGAGUGAGUGGAACACAAAUCAGUUGGUCCACAAAUUUACGGCUCUACGUUGAUCAUCCAUGUCGUGGUUUAGCAGUCAUUAUUCGAUUCAAGUGGAUGUACGCAGUAGGCUCCAUGUUGUUUUCAUUGCCAUAAUGCCUUGUUGAUCUUAUUCGCCUUAAUGUAGCUGUUGUACAGCGUAGGUUUGGGGCGUCCAAACACCAAAUAAUGACCAAAAAUGUUGCAGCCGGCAACAGAUUGGUACAUCUGACAACCACACGCCGCAGGAUCAUCCAAGAGUGUUUAAGUUGUAGAAGAGGGUUACUGGUCGCAUGGAACGCUGAAUCAUACUCACUCCACGUUGGUCCAUCAGAUGAGCUGUUAAGUUGUCAUAUGGUAAUGGCUGCUGCAUUCAUGGCCCCCAUCGUGGUGCCGUCAUCCGUGACGUCAAUCAAUUUAUCUGGUUUCUGCUUCUGACCUCCGUGUUAGGACGUUAACUUCUAAAUUGACAAAUGCAUCUCGCCACCAAUAGAAUUAACUACCAACAUUGCUCGUUGUCUCGUAUAAUAUUUUGAGUUUAGUUGGUAAAAUCUUGGUGUAAGAUUAUAAGUUUAAAUCUCAUAUUCAAUCAAGAAAAAUCAUCGUCAAUGCCUAAGCUAAUCCAUUAUUAUUCAAACAUGAGGACACAUGAGUGUCCAAAAUAGCUUCGAGACGUUUGAAGGUGAUCCUGAGGUGGCUCCAUGGUAGAACCGUUGAGCUCUCGAUGCAUCACUUAUACUAAGAUCGAUAUCAGUGGAGAUUUUUCAACCCGAUCCCUUCGAUACUUAAGUUAACCCAAGAUCCUUUUUAGGUAUAGAUUUUUGCUCGAAAAGAGAGCGUAGUAUUGGGGAUUACCUUUUAUACCCAACCUUGGAAGGGAUAAACUGUAAUCGUUCCAAUGUCCCCCUCUUGGUGUUUUGUCCACAUGGGUGACGGGAGGUAGAUAGCCUCGAAUAAUCUACCUUGGACUUUUGUCCACAUAGGUAGACGAACAAGGGUGACUUGGACCCUUUUCCUUCCAUGAUAGCUUCCACAUGGCACUUAUGUAUCGGAUGAUGAUUCGCAGCUAAUAUAUUCCUUAUUAUUUGUCCCCUCUACCGCCCCCGCCCCCCGGCAUGCUUUAAGGCUCUUGCUAGAGGGGCCUAAAAAGCAACGUUAGUUUAUGCAACAUGAGAGCAUUUGAGAUCACCUCUUACAGGUCGGGUUUUCCUGAAUAAUGCCUUAAGUUAAGGCAAGGGUUGGGUGUCCCGACCUCCACACCUCAAGCAAAGGCGGAGGUGGAGGUUGGGCGUCCCGAUAUCCAUGUCUUGAGCAAAAGGAGAGUAGAGUGCCUUGACCUCCACACCUCGAACAAAGGUGGGGUUCGUGCAUCUUGACCUCUAUGGCUCGUGUGACGACAGAGGUCAAACUUUUUUACCAUCGCACCUUUGGCGGAGGUGGGGGUUAGGCAUCCCGACCUCCAUGCCUCAAGUGAAGGUGGGGGUUGGGCGUAUCGACCUCCAUGAUUCGUGUGAUGGUGGAGGUCAGAUUUUUAGCGGAGGUGGGGGUUAGGCAUCUCGAUCUCCAUGCCUCAUUCAAUGGUGGAGGCCAGGAUUCUCGACCUCUAUACCUUUAGCAGAGGUGGGAUCAGGCAUCCCGACCUUCACACCUUGUGUGACGGUGGAGGUCGAGUAUCCACAAUUUGAGCAAAGGCGAGGAUCGAGCAUCUCGACCUUCGUGCCUCAAGCAAAUGUGGAGGUUAGGCAUCCCGACCUCAGCACCUCUUACCGAAGUAGGGGUCGGGCUUCCCGAUACCUACGCCUUGUGCAAGGACAAGGCAGAGGUCGGGAGGCCCAACCUCCUUGCCUCUGCUCGAGGCACGAAGGUCAGGAUACUCACCUCCGCUUAAAACGUGAAGAUCGGGAUGCUCGACCUCCGCCUCCAUUGGAAGCACAGAGAUUGAGAAGCCCAACCUUUGCCGUCGCAUGAGCUGUGAAAGUUGGGACGCGCAACCCCCGCCUCCGCCCAAGGUGUGGAGGUCAAGACGCUCGUCCUUUGCUUUCGUUGGAGGCAUAGAGGUUGAAAAGCCCGAUGUCUGCUAUCGCACGAGGCAUUAGUCGGAAAAAUCUGACCCGAGAGGAGAUCUCAAAUGCUCUCAUGUCGGAUGAACUAAACGUCAUAUUUCGAGCCCUCCUAACAAGAGCCUCAAAGCAUGCCUUGAGAGGGGGGAGGAAACAAAUGACAGGAAAUAUAUUAAUAGUCAAUCAUCAUCUUAUACAUAAGCACCACAUGAAAUAUCAUAGAAGAAAAAAUGCCUAAGCCCACAUGGAUAAAAGUGCAAGGAAGAUCGUUUAGGGUUAUCUCCCCCUGUUGCAUCACUACGGUAUUAAAACAUAUGUCUACGCAUAGGCCUCAUCUGAAUAAGAUCUCAUUAUUUUUCCUCACAUGAAUUUCUUGCCGAAAAGGGAUAAGAAAAAAUUUAAAAUAAAAGGGAGAAAGGUGGAAUAUUGGGGACAGAUUUCUUGAUAAAUAUAAUAUAGCUUAAAACAAAAAUUCGCUAGAAAGCCACCCAUCAAAGCAGCAAAUUUCACGAAUAUGGUAAACACAAAAAGAAGAAAAAAAAGAAAGUACGAUUCAAGUUCUCAGUAAUGCAUGGGAACCCUACAGAAAAACGAAGUGGAAUUAAGAGCAACGAAAAGGAUCUCCUUGUCAGUUAACAAGGUAAAGGAAAAAACACAAAACUGAAUAUUCACGUGAAAAGUAUUAUAUAGACACAAACUGAAUUCAGAUUUGAAUAGUGGAGUGUACAAGUGGGUGAGCAUCAGAGAAGAAAUAAAUGCUGGAAAGAAAUAUACGGGCUUGGCAUGGUGAAGUCUGCACCAGUAAUUGCAAGACAAUGCGAAAAAGAAAACAGAAGAAAACAUAAAUUGAUUAUCACGAAUAUCACAUUAUCUUCACAACAGCAGCAUGCAAAUCUUACUGAAUAUGAUGAAUGGGAAAAAAAAAAGGAAAAGAAAGGGCAAAAAAGCAGCUCGGUUCUGUCAUCUCGAAAAUAGCUGGGAACUACUAAGAUUGCAAGGAGAGGAAGGAUCCUUGAGGCAGCUGCAAAAUUCUUCUUCAUCUGUCGGAAAAGGUGUUGGAAGGGGGUGGUCUGGCUUGAUGCCUACCUGAACAAGCUUUUUGUUAUUAGUAUAUAAAGGCAACAAGUCAUAACAACCAUAAUUUUUAGUAAUGAUAAAAACCGUUUUCUUUUUCUUUUUUUCUUGCUAAUAAGUACUUAUCAUCAUACAUCUUCAAACAUAUGAAAUAGGAAUUUUUGAAAUGAAGUUAAAAAAAAAAUAAUAGUAAAAAUUACGUAAAUAUGAAAACCACUUGUGCAAAUAUAUAAAUUGGAAAGCCAAGUUAUCUCUGGGUGUGUCCGGUACAACAUUAACUGACGCCCAUGAAAGAAAUAAAUUUAGUGGACAGGUAAAGAAGAACAACUCUAUAAAGCCAGUGAAAACAUAACAUCAUUAACUAAUAUCAACUUUGCUCUCCUACCAUCAGAUUACACUAAUAUUCAAUAAACAGUAUGUCACAAUACUGUCAUUCUAUUGCUUCCCCUUCAGAACACGGUUUACUUGGUUUACUAGGUUUACAGUACAUUACAAUAUUGUCAAGUCUGUAUGAGUUAGAUCAGGUCAAUUUGAAUCAAACUUACACAAGCAACACAUCAAGAAAUUGUUUUUCCGAAGAAAAUUAAUUACUUAAGAACUAUGCUAGACAUGAGGCCUUUCCAGGUUUGGUUCAGGCUAGGUUCGCUCCAGAUAAGAAGCCCAAAACCUGCACUGGUUGCCAUCCAGUUCUAAUUCCUUGAACAUAGUGCGGAUUAGUGUACGCUAAAGCAAUAUCUUGAUCAUGAGUGUGCUAAGCAAAAGCAAUCAUGAGUGGAUUGGUAAGAAAAUCAAGGUAGGGGAAUCAGAAUGGGGUGUAGUCCAAGCUUUACAAUGCAGAUUAGUGUACAUUAAAGACAAAUAUCAGGAUACAUGCAAGUUACAAGGCAGGAUGGAUGCUAAUCUUCCAGACAAGCACUCCUACAAGUGAAUUGAAGAAUAUUUUUUAUCAUGGGAUACAAAAACAAAAUAAACCACAUAAUUCUUAUUUCUCUCAGCUGAUCCCUUCUUUUUAACAAAUUUGGAUCCUUUUAGAAAUUGUCAACAGACGAAGGCUGCUUGAUAGAGACUUUCCUACUCUAUUUGGUUUUCUAAUUCCACUGUAACUCAACGCUUAGAAAUUAUGACAAAUAUCCAUGCAAAUGCCAAAAAGGUAUAAUUAAACUCAAAUUAGAUCCAAUUUAGACAAUACUAAGUUAUAUCACUAGGUGAACACCCAUUUGAUAUUUAAGGCUGACAAGCAAUCAAGUAUUUCAUCCCUCCCACUUGAAAAGAAAACAAAAACAAAAAAAAGAAGAGGUGGAUGGGCAUACAGCAGAAUACCAACCUUGUCAAUAUUAGUGUGAGCAGGGGUUUCAUACCGAGCCACUGUAACAGCUAAUCCAGAGCCAUCAGAAAGCUCAAAAACUGACUGUAUUUUUCUGCACAAGCACAUAAAGUAAGUUGGAAAGAAUCACUUUUAAUUCUUGCACUCAUUCAAGUAAUUACCCUUUUCCAAAAGUAGGUUCCCCAUAUAAUACUGCCCUUCUAUUGUCCUUUAGUGCUCCAGCUAAUAUUUCACUUGCGCUUGCAGUUCCUUUGUUCACCUAACAUAUUCAGUAAAGAAGACAGCACACUUAUCGACAGAAAAGAAAAUUUUAACAAAUCCUCCAUUUCCAAUAAAGCUGAAAAAAAAAGACCAACGCUUUAACAUAUAAUCAAAGAAGAACACUCUGACUGGCAAAAAUAUAUACACAUAGGUAGAAAAUAGGGAAACAUAGGAGCAUAUAACAUCCUGCAAAACCAAACUGCAGUGCUGCAGAAUACUAUAAUUUAAUGUUAUGGGGUUUCACUAACAAAAACGAAAACAUCUGUGGAGACAAAGUGUAUAAGUGGUUUCCUAGUUCUACAUUGAAGUGAUCACAAAGAUACAGGUGACAGCUUAUUUGAUUUGAACAUGAUCCUGAAGCAUCCAGACAGUUAUCUCUAGGAAAUAUGAUGUGUGUAAUCAUAGUGAAAAUUUUGACUCUUGAUCUGUCUGACCACACUAUAAUGACAACUCUACGACUGGGACAAAUAUAUCCAUUGCAUUUCAGUCUUUGACAAGGGUGAUAUAUCAAAAUAAUUAUAUUAACUACAUAAAUUCUCAGUUUAUAUGGUCCACUAUCAAUUUUGCAACACUUCCUCUCAUUGUGCAGUAUAAUACUAUCCAACUAUUAAUAAAGAUCUCAGGAGAGAAUCACAUGAGACCAUUUAAAAUUUAGAUGUGUAGAGAGAUCAGAUCAUACCAGCACAGUUAACGGUUCAGAUGCUGCAACAGUAUUGCUUCCAUCAGCCUCAUAAAUAUCUCGAACACCACGGUUAUCACAUAUAUACACAAUAACACCUUUGUCCAACCUAAAGAGCAACAAGUACCAAAAAAAAUAAGCUAGCAACAUUUGAUGGUUAAAUGCACUUGGUAUCCACACACAAAAAAAGGUGCAUAUCUUAACAAUCUUUCAUCUACUUUAUCAAUAAUAAUAGUGAUUAAAUAGAGAACAAUAAGAGGAAGAGAUAGAGUCCAGACUCCAGUAUGCAGCAUAACAUGACAGAUAAUUAAAACUUUCCAUCUCUGCCUUAGGAAGUCCACAUGCAACCAGCAUGCACAAAAUGUGCUAAAAUAUUCUAGAUAAAUAUAAUUCAUGAGACAAAAAAUGGAACAAAAGAAUUGUAAUAUCCAUUCCUACUCAGAAUCAUUCAUUUAUUAUCUUCAUUGCUUGGAAUCAUAUAAGACAAAUAGAGUCCUACUUGGUGGUAUAAGGUAGAUUAACAUCAUAGUUUUGAAAAUCAGUCAUUGCUAAUCAGACUGGAUCUAAGAUCAGACAUAGCCGACCCUAAACAGCACCAAAGAUUUUGGUGUCUAUUAUUUUCAAUCAGCAAGCACAAUAUUAUAAAAUAGCAUAUACAAUAACUAAAUGGUAGCAUAUUAUAAAACCAUAAAAUAGUGCAUAUAUGAAAUUAAAAUUUUACAAGAGUACCACAUCAUCAAAAUUUUGAAAGUGGUGAUAAAAAAAUAUGAAUGUUAGCUUCAAACUUAAAAUUUUCAAUUUCAAUGUAUUGAUUUAAAAAGUUGAACCAAGGAAUGAAACCCAGUCUUCGAAUCUGUAUCAUCCAAUCCAACUGAUCUGAUCCCAUGGAUGACUUCCUGUUACCAAUUGCAGCUUCUAAAGCCUUGUUUGGCAUAAAAAUAGAGUUCAUGACAAGGCUUCUUUUUCCCUUUAAUAGGCUGCUAAAGGAAAACUAUAAACAAGACAAUGGAGAAGAAUAAUGAGACCAAUUAUAUUUAUGUCAAGUUCACAACCAAUUUGAAAACCACUUCUUCUUCACCUAUUUGUUACCAGUAAAAUCAGGGAAGAGAUUUUGCAAGUCCUGCAGUUUCACUAGAGCUAAUCUACCAAUAAACCGGGAAUAUAGAUGGUUAUCCAUUAUUAUGUGAGUAAAAACUUGAUUGCUGGCAUUAAAAAAUGCCUUAAGGCAGCUGAUGCAUAUGCUAAUAUGCUAAUUGCAUGAAGAGAAAUAAAAGGUUGUUCAAGCAAUUUAUUUUUCCUCUGAUUACAUCAUCUCUAAGAUUCUUGAUUCAGUAGGUUAAUUUUCCUUUGUUGCAUUCUGAGGCAACUAUCAUGAGACGUUGAAAUCUACUUGGAGCUUUCUGUCAAUGCUGUGUCUGGAAGACUACAGUGUAUUGGAUUAUGAGUGUCUCUUUCUUUAGAAGUAUGGAGUUUUGCUUCUACUUUUCUGCUGUAAUUUACAAGAGAUUCUGGAACAUAGUAGUUUGUGAAUAUGUUUUGGUCCUUUGCAGCAUUUUUCUGGAUGGGGCUGGUGGAUGUUGGUUCGCUUUAUUUCUUUAAAUUUAUUGAUUUUAAUUGUUUCUGGUUGGUAGUUGGGCCUUGAAUGGCAGUUUUUUUGUUUGCUAGUUGCAAUGUACGUCUGUAAUGUGUGUAUUUUGCAUUGUUCUAGGAGGAUAUGAACCCAAUCUGGGACUCUUUGUUUGUAUUGUAUUUUAAAAUUUGUAAGACAAUAAAAAGUUAGAAAAAGAGGCCUCACAUAUAUACAACCAAGCAGUAUUUUCUGUAGCUGAAAUGAACUAUUAUAACAAAAAAUCUACAUCUGCUGCAGAUACAAGACUAUAUGCAUUCAUAAAUGGUUUGGCGAUUUUUUUAAAAUAAAGCCUAAUAUUUUAAGGAAUAAGCUAUCUGAAGAAGAUUACCAAAUUUUUGCAAUCUCGAUUCCUUCUGGGAAAAGGCCACCACUGUACAAAAGAUGGUGUAUCAAAAUCCAGAAGUUAUCCAAAGAAUAUCAAUAUUUCCUACAAAGGAUUACCUAUUGUUUCGGAGAUCCAACACAAAGGCUUUCACACCAUUGCUUCUUAAAGUUUCUAUGGCAUCCUUGACUGCUCCUGCACACAAAAUGUUCAAAGACACACAUAUAUAUAUCACAUAAUAAUUCAAGGUUUGAAGAUUGCACAAGAAUAAUACACAUAUGAUCUGUCAAAUAGUAAAUAAUUAAUUAAUAUAAUAUUUUAAAAGAAUGAAGACAAUUGUUUAGCAUGUGGACAAAUACAGAUGCAUCAUUUAGGCUUAGCUGCUUAAAGGAUAUUUCAUCUGUUAAUAUCAUUGGCAGUAUCCAGAGAAGAAGACAUGAUGGAAACCAGCAUAAACAUAAGGGAAACAUAAAAAUGCAUUUCUUCAAGUUGAGAAUCUUUUCAUUGUUUUAAAUAACUUAACAAAAAUUAUGAUAAACUGAGGGACACAUUGAUGAUAAUUUAAACCUAUUAAUCUCCACAACAUGGAAACGGCAGAUAAUUCCUCCUGUUUAUCAUGGUUUUGUUAAUGUUUUCUCUAAUCCCAGUGUUCCUUGGGGCGAUUCUGCUCAUCAUGUGCUGCCUAUUUCUUUCACAAGAAAUUUCAGUCUUCAUGAUAUGAUGGAGGUCAAACUCCCAAUCCAUGAGCCUGAUUUAUAUCACUGAUACGGAAGGGUUCCUUGUACAUAAACUAAGGUGAAUAAGGGAGUGGCUCUUUCUCUUGCUAAUUGUUGCUUUGACCACAAUCACCCUUCAGCAGAUUGUAGUGUAGAAUUAGGAAGGGAAUUAUAAAAACAAAUUAUAUCUCAAAUUGGAUAAAUUUUAUCAAUGAAGCUCACUGUCUCAUUUUAAAAUUUUAUUUCAGAAGAUGAUUAGAUGAGAAUAAAUGCAAUGUAAACAGCAAAAUAUAUAUAGAGAGAGACCUAAGAUACAGAUUGUUGUGUACAGCGAAAAAAAAAAAUAGCAUCAUGUCUGAAUAUUUAAAAGGCAUAAGAGACUUUAGGAUGUCUAAAGUUUGGUUGCGAGAUACACAGUGAAACUUUUGACAUGCCAAACUUCUCCACUUGUUGGAAAAUUUGUUAUGGCACAUAAGGUAUUAAAAGGUGCUGAUCAAAGUUGACUAUGGUAAUUUGGUAAAAUCAUCAUAUGCUGGAACCACAACUGCAUAUUGUUUGGUACUAUCUGAUAUAUUAUGUUGUCAGCAUUAAACAGUCUACAAUCUCUCGAGAAUCAACAUCUGUGUGAAGGCAAAAGAAUUGGACUUAUCUAGCAACUUGAGCAAAUUAUCAUUAGGUAAUUUGGAUUUAAAUUUUUUGGGCCAUGUUGCAGGCACACCAUAUGAACUGUUUGGGUCAUGACAAAUGAUAUCAAAACAUCACCACUCAGGCAUGUGGUUCAAGCCAGGAUUUAAUGUGCAUCAUGGUGAAACCCUCAUCUAGUUGUGAGACAGCAUCAAAUACAUCGGUAGCAAUAUGGUAAGUUAUUAUUGCCCCAAAUAUAGGAGGGCUUUUCUUAGGGCCCUAAUUAACUGACCAUGUUGUCAAUGUUUCUUUAAUAGACUCUUUGGGUAAGCAACACCUCGCAACAACAACAACAUCAGAGCCAGCUCAGAUAAAACAUCAACAUAUAGACAAUGCAAUAGAUAAAUGACAGAGACAAACUCAAGAUGAUGUUCAAGUAAAAAUGAAAUUUCCUGAAUGACUAUAAAGCAUAAGGUGGUGUUCAAACCAUUAGAUUUCUUUUUUUCCAAAUUGAUGCCACAUUUAGGUAUAUAUUGACAG
RNAcentral lists this long non-coding RNA (57689 nucleotides) under Musa acuminata (dwarf banana). RNAcentral describes it as "long non-coding RNA (MACU_LNC003793)". The record is from RNAcentral. Lineage: Eukaryota; Viridiplantae; Streptophyta; Magnoliopsida; Zingiberales; Musaceae.